UGAGACUUGGACUUUGCUUGCUUGCCAUUUGUGCUCAUUCGCACAUGCUUGUGAGAGUCGCUCCCUACAAGCCGGCACUCCGGAGUUAGCCCACGCGACUUAUGUUCGCUCGUGCGGUAUUGAGAAGCCUACGGGGUCGAGUGGGACAGACACAUCCCAAGAGUAGGGAUGUUGGGCUACCACAGGCACUUAGGCGGCACAAGCUGGACUACCUUUGGUAGGUUCUUGAUUGGAAAUGGAAAUCGAUACGGGGUCGAGAUUGGUUAAUCACUACUAGAUAGGUUUAGUAGUUGGAUUACAUUUAUAUGCUUUUAGCAUAGUGUUGAGACAUGUAGUAUAUUUGAUAGUCUCUUGUUGCAUUAGAGCAUACUUGGUUGCCAUGAUAGAGCUUAUGCAUCAUGCAUUGAUAAAGGUUAUUGACAUUGAACUAUUACCAUUGGACAUAGUAUUUUGAUAUUGUAGAUGUACAUCACCAUGACAUCGUUAUACUUGAGUUUAGUAAGUUAGCAUUACAAUUAUGCCUUUAUAUUGCUAUCAUUAUUGUACUUACCCUUUUCCUUUGGGGCCUAGUGGUGCAUUGAGCUGAGGUCAGUAAUUGCCCACUGGGAACUAUAAAUUAUAGUUCUCAUGCCCUCUUUUUCUCGAUAUUUUUUCAGAGCCUUCCACUCAGGGUGAGGCCAGGGAUCGCGGAAAGGGUAUCGCCUCGGGCUAGCGCGCUUACCGAGGGAUCGUUCGAUAGGUGGUUUACCUCUCGUGUUUUCUUUUUGUGAGAGGUUGAGAGUUGUACCCGUAUAUGUGUAGAGAGACCACCAUUUUUGUACUUAAGACAGUUAUUGUAAUACUUAUGGUUAUCCUUGUUUGACUAGCUUUAUUUCUCUACUUUGGUGUAGAUGAUAGAACUUGCUCUGAUAUCUCUAGUUGCUAGUUAUUUCAUUUCUUAUAUUUGUUCUAUCUCUUGCUUUUACUUCCGCUUUUAUCGUAGACGCCUUAUAUGUGUAGACAUAUGGCGGGUCUGGGCACGCUACCGGGAGGGCCUCCGCCGGUCCCGGGGCGUGACACUUAUCCCUAAAAAAGAAGGGGCCUAUCGGGUGAACGACUUUCGACCGAUCAGCCUCUUAAAUGGAACACAAAAAAUUAUCUCCAAGGUCCUCUCCAACAGAUUGGCAUUGGUUAUGCCCUCUUUAUCGCCCCAAUACAAUCGACCUUCCUUAAGGAUCGUCUUAUGUUUGACUCUUUCGUCACAGCAUGUGAACUUUUUGCCUGGUGUACUAAAACGGGACAAGAGUGCACAUGUAUCAAGGUAGAUUUCGAAAAAGCCUUUGACAAUGUUAGUUGGUCUUUCUUGAAAAACAUCAUGACGUGGCUAGGAUUCAACGACAAAUGGUGGACUUGGAUUGAACAGUGUGUCCGUAACGCCAAAAUCGCUAUCUUGGUAAACGGGACACAGACUAAGUGGUUGAAAUAAAAAAAAAGGCCUUAGACAAGGAGACCCCCUCUCUCCCUUCCUCUUCUUGUUGGUGGCAGACUGCCUCUCAAGGCUGACCGAAUCAGCUAAGAGAAACAACCUCCUCUGCGGAGUCGGCAGUCUGAUAAUUGCCAGACAGUCCUCCUACAAUAUGCCGACGACACAAUCUUCUUCUGUAAGCCCAGAAAAAAUGUUAUUAGAAGCAUCCGGUUCAUGUCGAAUAUUUUCGAGUAGGUCUCUGGGCUCCGGAUUAAUAAAGAUAAGUCCGAACUUUUUUAUUUAGGACAUAACCACAGAAGGCGGCCAGUCUAGCAAACACUCUGAGGUGCAGAGUCGGAACCCUGCCAAUUUGCUACUUGGGUUUACCCCUUUCCUUUAAACAUCUAAGGAAAGAGGACUGGUCCAUUGUCAUUAACCGUAUCGAGAAAAAAAUUGAAGGAUGGAAAGCGAAACUUCUCUCCCAAGGGGAAAGACUCACACUAGUUAACUCUGUUCUCUCUAGUCUGCCGCUACACUUCUUAUCUAUCUUCAGAGCGCCAAAAUGGGUCCUCCAACCGAUUGAAGCUUUACGAAGAGCCUUCUUCUGGAAAGGCAACUCUAAAGUCAAUGGAGAGGCCUGCCUAGUGAGCUGGAAAACAGUCUGUAAAAGUAAACGGGACGGAGGUCUAGGGAUCAAGGAUCUGGAAGCUAUGAAUCUGGCACUUUUAACCAAAUGGUGGUGGCGCUUCUUCAACGAACCAUCAACGCCUUGGAACAAGCUGAUUAGAUCACUAUACUACACUAAACGAACACCUCUUCACGAAGGAAGAUCCUUCCUCCCUUACUCGCAAUGGUGGAGGAGUGUAUUGUUCUACCGGGACAUCUUCAAAUGUGGUACAAUCUACAAGAUAGGAGACGGUAGAGAUAUUAGGCUCUGGUCCGACAUAUGGUUAGGAGAAACCUCCUUACGCACUCAGUUUCCAGAAAUCUACAACUAUGUUAAAAACAAGGAUGUUUGAGUGUCUCAUUGCUGGAAUCCUAAUGGGUCGAGAUGGCGUUUCAUCUGUUGCGGAUUUGUUGCGAAUCAUACUGCAGAUAGGCACUGAAGUCUGUUGGAGCUGAAGAAUGCGUUACAGGACGUCCAACCUCUUAGCAGGCAUGAUUGCGUCCACUGGCGCUGGACGACAAAUCUGCAAUUCUCCGUCAAAUCCCUCUACCUGUUUCUCAUGGACACAGGAAUGAGAGAUUCGACGAGCAUAUCUAUCUGGAGAACGAAAAUUCCGAUUAAAAUCAAAGUUUUCAUAUGGCUUCUACUUCGGAAGAGAAUUCUCACUACGGAUAGGCUCGUCAAAUGGGGGUUGCUUACUGAGCAGCUUUGCGUUUUUUGCGCCAAUGCCAUGGAAACUUGCAAUCACCUCUUCAGUACAUGUGUGUUAUUCAGAUAUUUACUAUUAGUCUUGGAUGAACUCGACAUUUUAAUUGAGCCUUUGGAGGCGGACCAGGGACUGUGGGAAAGGUGUCUACGCUUCGAAAACGCCAAGAAGAUAAUUAAGGGACUAACCCUUCUUGCAUCUAUCUGGUGGAUAGUCUGGAUCGAAAGGAACAACAUCAUUUUUAAAGCGAUAUACACCACACCUUACCAGAUGGUUGAACGGAUCAAAUCACUAAGGCAGGAUUGGAUCGAUCUUGGCCAGCACUAGAUAGCUAAACUUCGGUUGCCCGCACUGGACUUUCGGCGGUGUGACUUCUUCUUUUCUUUCUUUUUCUCUCUUUUUUCCCUGCUGCUCUGUUUUAUCUCGCUUUUUCUUGAGGCCUCGGAUGCUUCCACCUUGUAUGCUUAAUUCAACUUUCUUAAUGAAUAAAGCGGGUAGCGUGCUACAUUUUCUCAAAAAAAGAAGAAGAAAGAUAUUAGGUUGUAAGAAAGGUGUAGACGAUAUUUUGAUAUGAUGUUAAGGGCUCAGAAGUGAUCAUGUAUUUUAUCAUGAACCACAAAAUUUGUAUAAGUAGUAUUAGGCUUAAUUUGGUAUUGAGGUUUAUCUUAGGCUUUGUUUGGGAUUGCAGAGAGAUUGCAUUACGUGCGGUAAGAAAGUAUGUUGGAAAAAUACUCUGUUUGUUUCCGUACGAAAUAUUGCGUUCCGCAUAUCGCGAUGAGUCGGUUACGAUAUAUUUUUUGCGAUCCCACCGGAGAACGCAGAAUCAUAUCCCUAUAUACUUUUUCCUCAACUCCAUUUUAUCUAAUAGCGUUAGAUAAACCUCAAUACCAAACUAAGCCUUAAUCAAACAAUUGAUAUUUAAAAAAUGUAAAUUAUAUUAUAUUUGAUAUAUUUGAACAAAUACAUAUAUUUUUAACGAACAAAUAUCUCCCACGGCAAUUCUAUAAAGAGAAUCUAAUAGGAUUGUGCUCAAAAUUUUAAAAUUUUUCCUCUCUAAUGAAUAGAUCCCCCAUCAUUCUCCUUUGUCCAUUCUAAUUUUCAGGCUUAACUAUAAGUCGUGGACUGAAAGAAUUCUCCAAAUUAUUAUGAUUUAGCCCUAAAAGGAUUCUCUUGCACUAAAUCCUUCCUCUCACUGCCAUGAAUCGACGGUCCACUUUGGGUGCUCUGCUUUAAUUGCAGUGGUUCUUUUUUUUUUCUUUUUUUUUUUAAAAAUAUGGGAGUAUUUUUAGAGAAGGAGAGCCAUUAGCUCCACAAGUAACAAAAAGUUAGGAGGUUUUCAUAGAGCACAGAGACAAACUUUGUAUUGAAAGAACUUACCCAGACCACUCUCUGUAGUUUUUUUUUUUUUUUUUUUUUUUUUUUUUUUUUUUUUGAUCCGGUUCACAUAGACAUGGGCAUAGUAACAAAUAAAAGAGGUGUUUCCAUUUCACAAAAUUUGAGGGGAGGCUAUCAAGUUGGAUCCAUGUAGGAGCAACAUUACUAAAGCGAAAGAAAGACGAAGAACCCUCAGAAUGUACAAGCCACAUGAAAAGGUCCUCUCGUGAGCCAUAGUAAGAAUAAUGCAUAGGGAUAUUAGUGAAAUUAAUAUGCUUGAGAAUAAACUUACAAAAAAUUGCAUUUGUUUCAUCAAUCUGUUCGAGGUCAUCGAUGAUCUCCUUUUUAACUAGUUUGCUUGGAACCUUAUCAGGGAUUAUCCCACUUCUCACUUUGCUUGCUAUCCUCCCAGCUACUAUAUACUGAAGCCCAUGAUUCUCAACCCUAUGUUGGCGUUUUAGCUAGUUUUAAUAUUUCAGGUAUUGGAGAAGCUUGAGCAAUGCAAGUUGGGGAGGCGAGGUUGGUGUUAGCUUGCCCAGCCCCGUCUAGUGAUGGGGCUUGAUCCUGAAGCCAUGGGAGGGAGUGCCUCUCACGAUUUUGUUGAUUCCAUUGAUUUCUUCGCCCUAUCUAUGUAUGAUCUUCGUGUUGCAAUGGUGCAAUUAGAUUCAAUUCAACCAAAUAAGCCGUCGCAUCAUUCCAGAACUUCACACAGUGCUCUAUUCCUGGAGAAACGGUCAACUGUGCUAUCAUACCUAAACUUCUACAAAAUUUUCACUCCAGCAUUAAUUUUUUUUCACAACUAACCCAAUAUUUGUAAAUUUCUAUAAACUUAUCAAAUUCACCUAUGUAGUCAUAUUUGCAUAAAAAAUUCAACGAUUUUUGCGCUUUUAUAAAAAUGAGCCACUUUUUUAAAUUUUACACAUUUGAUCCAAAUUUUUAGUAAAUUGACUAAAAUAUCUUUAUUUCUCUUUUUCUCUUUUUUUUUCGUUCGUCUUUCUCCUUUCGGCAUCUCUCCCUUCUCAGCAUUUCUUUCUCUCUUUCUCCUCCCGUUUUCUCUCCCUUCUCCUCCUACUCCAUCGUCCCCAUGUUGUUGCGGCGCUCCUCUCUCUUACUUUAACCACGCCUCUGUCGAUGCCAAUUUGGAUAUGCCACAGAUCGUGGAGAUGAGGUUGCGAUGGAAAGUGAGGCUGCGGUAGAAAGCGUGGCCAUGGACGGUGAGAACGACGAAAGUGUUGCAGGAUUUGAGGACGACGGGGAAGGAGAGCGUGUCGGGGCGAGGAAGGGACAGGAGCGGGGGUGGCGGAUACUACAAAGGGUGAUGGAAAGGGCGCGGUAACAGAAAAUAAUAUAGAGGAUGGAAGGGAAAAAAGGAAGAAAAUAAAUUUUUUUUUUCUUCUGGAAAGGCCCUCAUGUACCAUGACUACUAUAGGAAAGGCCAAAGAAGUAGAGAGGAAAGAAGAAAAAGUAAAAGUUGCACUUUUUGAGACUAAGUUGCACUGUAUAGGGCUAAAUUGCACCAUUUAUAUAUAUAUAUUUGAGACUAAGUUGUUGAAAAUAAGAUCAAAUUGUUAGUUAGAUUUUUUAGAUAAAUUUGUUUUUAUAUAGUUACGAGGGAUAAACUUUUAAGUUGUUAAUAAGUUUAGAUUUUGAUUUUUUCCAUUAUUAUCCAUAUACAUGAGUUGAGCACUAUAGAAAGGCUAAAACUAUGUAGAAGUACAAGUGCACCGCGAAUUUAUUAAUUAUUCUCCACAUUAAUAAAGAUAUAUUCUCUUCAUUUUUAUUUUAUUGUUCUAUUGAUUAGUUAGAUUUUUUAGUUAAAUUUGUUUUUAUAUAGCUACGAGGGAUAAAGUUUUAAGUUGUUAAUUAGUUUAGAUUUUGGUUUUUUUCAUUAUUAUCCAUAUACAUGAGUUGAGCACUAACAAAAGGCUAAAACUACGUAGAACAAGUCUGUAGGUUAUGAAACCCUAGUAUCUAUCUUGAUAAUAUCACACCUAGAGGGGGCGAAUAGGUGUUUAGCCCAAAUUUGCAAAUCUCAAUGUAAUAAAAAAUAAACGCGAAAAAUAAAAAUAGCACACCGAGAUUUAUGUAAGAAAACUCCAAUUUGGAGAAAAACCUACGGGACCAAUACGCGAAAUAAUAAUCCACUAAGAGAAAAGAUUACAAGGUGAUUACCGACUCCACGGAUUCGACCUCUCUUAACCUUCUAUGGAUCUCGCGCAAGCCUCCGGUGUAAGGAAGUGAAUUCUCGAAAUGCGAGAGUUGGACUUCGAUUAAAAUCGACUGAUUGUCAGUUCGGUACGCUUUGGAAAGGCCGAAGGCGUCAGAAACCCAAAAAGUGCAUUAGAGAAGGCCACCGGGAGCGAGUUGUGAAAAUUCUGCAAAGUGCAGGAUUUUUGUUCUUGGGGACCGGUCCCUGGUGGGAGAGACCGGUCCCCGUAGCUUGGAAAAUGUGGCAGAAGACUCUGCGCACAAAACUUGCUCUCGAGAACCGGUCCUUGGUGGGAGAGACCGGGCUCCGUAGGUAUGCAAAUUGAGCAAGGGGCUGUCUUGUGAGAGUGUGCUCUCGGGGACCGGUUCCUCAUUGGAGAGACCGGUCCCCGUACGCGUGGAAAAGGGAUAAGGGCCCUUUUCUGUAAAUAAGUCACUCUCGGGGUAGCCCGAAUUUGCCCAAGUUGGGCUGUGCAUUAUUGGCAAAGUUGAGGAGCUUUUAUACAUUUGUAGCAUAAGUUGGGGGUAUAGGAGGGAGUGAGCCCUCUCUCUUUCUCAUUUCUCUCCCAAACUCAACCCUAGCUCUCUUUCUCUCUCUAAACUCUCUUCCUCUCUCUCUAGAAGGUGAAGAAGAGAAGGAUUUUGGUUGAGAAGCAAGCAAGGAGAGGGGUUUUCAUCAUCUUCUUCUUCCUCUUCACCAUUGGAGCUAACUUUUGGAGGUUAGCUUGAAGCUCAACCAUGGUAGAUUUCUAGGAUUUAGGUCUUUAAGCUCUAGAAUGGUUUAAAUAGAACUCUAGCUUGCUAGAGAGAUACUUUAUGUAUGAGUUUGGAGGUUUAGAGUUUGAUUCUUGCAUGAUUGCAAGUUAGGGCUCCAAAAUGGAGUUUUUGCUUUGUAGUAGGGUUUGAUCUAAAUUGAUAAAGUGUAAACCUAAUUGCUAGGUGUUUAAAUAUAUUGGCGAAGACGGUUCGACAAUUCGUCGAGUGGGUGCAAAGUUAUUGGCAAAAAGGACCUUCUGAGCUUCGUUACCGCCUGGGAGGCCGAGACGACAUCGUAAAGUCGCCGAAUCGCAUUCCUAGAGUCGUGACAACGCCAGAAGGUGGGUGGUGUCAUCCCGAAGUAACCGGGCUCCUCUUUAUGUCUUAGUGCAUUGUAAUCUCGCUAGGACUGUCCUCUGAGUAACUCAACCCAGUGAUGACAAACUUCGGAGCGCAUCGCCCGAGGGGGAGCGACCACCCUCUAGCAAGGACUUAUAGUGAGUGUGAUCAAUCCUUAACUCUAAGGAUAUUCAGUUCAAUCUGUUCCUUAACUCUAAGGAAUUUAUGCACAAAUGAUCCUUAGCUCUAAGGUUGAAUGUCAUUGUGUCAAUCUCAAGUUCUUUGCAUUCUUUAUCUUUGACCAUAUCAUUACACUAACUCUAGUGUUCUUUACAUUCUUUACUAUCGUUCAUAUCAUACAUUAACUCUAGUAUGCUUUGAUGCCCGACAUUUAAUGUUAUCUCUAGCCAUUGUUCUUUAUGCCACAUUUUGUUGCUAACUCUAGCAAUUGUCAUUCUUUGAUGCCUCACAUUUGCUAACUCUAGCUUUUAUCAUUCUUUAUACCACAUUUUGUUCUCUUGAUGCCACACACUAGCUCUAGUGUUCUUUACGUCAAUCUUUAUGCUAACUCUAACUUUUAUUCUCACAUUUCAUUGUCCUCAUGUCAUAUGUCACUUGUUCUUUAACUUCACUAUACUCUUAUCUCUUUUUACAUGCACAUAUAGGGUUAAUACAUUCUCAUUGGUUCUCAACCAUCUCAUGAUGCACUUGAACUCACAAAAUGCAAACAUUCACAUAUUUAUAAUCUCAUUACCCUAAUCAUGCAUCCAACAAUUAUAUACAUAUGCUCAAGAAGUGACACAUUAGACAUAAAGGGACUUCCAACAAGUUUGGAGAGCACCACCCACCUCGUAGGCUUUCUUAGGUGCUAUGGUGAAUUUCUUAGAAUUUUUAGACUCCUAGUUCGUCACUUGCGGCAAAACGAAGCCAAAUUAGGCCUUUUUGCUCAUAACUUUACGUAGCUUUUCGUAACGUUAAUCCGAGCGCACCAUCACGUCGGAAAUACCCCCAAUUAGGGUUUUAGAGGGUCAAUUUCACUUUGAAACCCUCACAAGCAAAAGCUCCAAAUUUGGGUGCUCUAGCUUCACAUAUACCAAAUCUAGAAUUUUGAUCUCUUAGAGAAGCAAAAAAAAGCUUCAAAUCCUCUAAAGGUUCCAUAAAAAUCAUUCUCAGCUCAAUCCAAACCCUAGUUUGGAUUCUACCAUGAGAGAGGUUGAAGCUCACCUCUAAGCUUCACCACAUAUACCCAAUCUAUGGUUUUGAUCUCCUAAGGAAGCAAAAGAAAUCUUCAAAUACUCAAAAGAUUCUACCAAAACCAUUUCUAGGUCAUUUGGUUCUCAUUCUAGGGUUUUACCGUGAAAGGGAUCAAAGCUUACCUCAAAGCUUUCCUUUCUUUGUGCUAGAGGUGAAGGAAAGGGAGUUACUUCACUCCUUCUUCUUCUCCACCUUCUUUCUCUUUUUCUUCUUAUUCUUUUCCUUUCUUUCCCUUUCUUUCUUUUUCUCCUUCUUGUCUUCUAGAGAGAGAAAGAGAGGAGAGAGUAUGUGAGAAGGUGAGAAUGAGCGGAAUAUCCCAUAACCCCUCAUAGCAUAACCCACAUAAUGCAUUUUUGCAAAUAAACCCCUCAACUUUCACUUUAUUAAACUGCCAGAACUGGACAGUUUUCGUGCUCAGGGACCGGUCUCCCCGACAUGGGACCGGUCCCAGAGUGCUUUCCCCGCGGGCAGCCAGGGCCCUCGCGCAAUGCAACCGGUCUCUCCCAGAGGGACUGGUCUCUCGGGGACCGGUCUCUCCCCGCAGGGACCGGUUCCCGAGAGCUGACUUUCUGAGACUUAGUCGAUUUCUCAGCUUUCUCAUUUCUCACGCGUUCGGGGACCGGUCUCUCCCACCAGGGACUGGUCCUCGAGAGCACAAAAGCUGCAGUUUUCAGAUUUUUGAUUCUUUAGCUCUCGAAAACCUCCCACUUUUACUCAUUUUAACACCUUCGGACUUUCCGAAGGGUACCAACCUCGCACUUUGGUCAACUUGACUAAAGCUCGAUAUUUAUUUUCCACAUUUUCGGUAUAUUACAUUCUCCACCCCUCAAAAUAAUUUUGUUCGCGAAAUUACACAUACCUUAACUCGUCGACACAAAUAGAUGCGGAUACUCUCUUCGCAUAGUCUCCUCGAGCUCCCAAGUGGCUCUCGCACCGCAUGGUUGCUCCAUUGGACUUUUACAUAUGAAAUUCUGCAACUCCGCAGCUUUCUUUCUUCUCUAUCGAGGAUGCACACCGGGUACUCCUCAUAAGACAUAUCCUUAUGUAACUCCACGGGCUCAUACUCUAAUACAUGUGUCUAAUUGCGAAUAUACUUUCGGAGAUUUGACAUAUGAAACACGUUGUGAACUCCCGCGAGUCUCGUUGGUAGUGCGAGCUUGUAAGCUACCGCACCCACAUGCUCUAGUAUCUCAAAUGGUCCAACAUAACGGAGACUUAACUUCUCGCGGACCCCAAAACGCUUGACUCCUCGCAUUGGUGAUACUCUUAAAGAUACGCGGUCUCCAACUGCGAACUCUAAGUCCUCUUUGCUUGUCGGCAUAACUCUUUUGCCUUGACUGCGCUGUUGCUAACCGUUGACGGGCAAGGCGAACUUUCUCUUCUGCCUCCCUCACUACAUCCGGGCCAAUAGACGUUCUCUCGCCCACGUCGCUCCAAUGAAUUGGAGAACGACACUUUCGUCCAUAUAGUGCCUCAAAUGGCGCCAUCGUGAUGCUUUCUUGAUAACUGUUAUUAUACGCGAACUCCGCCAUUGGCAAGAAAUCAUGCCAUCCUCCUUUGUAAUGUAGCACACACGCUCGAAGCAAGUCCUCAAGGAUUUGUAUCGUCCGCUCCGACUGACCACCACUCUGAGGAUGGAACGCUGUACUGAAGUCGAGCCGUGUGCCUAGCGCGACUUGCAAACUCUUCCAAAAGUGAGAUGUGAACCUGGGGUCUCAAUCCGAUACAAUUGAUACCGGAACCCCAUGAAGUCUCACAACCUCAUCGAGAUAAACUUGAUCUAACUUGUCUCCCGAUCACGUAGUAUGAAUUGGCAAGAAAUGAGCCGACUUCGUCAGUCGAUCCACUAUUACCCAUAUCGCAUCAUGUCCACCUUGAGAUUGAGGCAGACCGGUAACAAAGUCCAUCGCUAUAUCUUCCCAUUUCCAAAUGGGUAUAGAUAGACUUUGUAGCUUGCACGCCGGAAACCGGCGCUCUGCUUUCACCUGUUGGCGCGUUAGACACUGCGCCACGAACUCCCCAACAUCUUUUUUCAUGCCUGGCCACCAAUAAUGUACUUUUAGAUCUUGAUACAUUUUAGUGCCGUCAGGGUGUAUGCUAUAGGGAGAUUGAUACGCUUCUUGCAUGAUUGCCCUUCGAAUGUCAUUAUCUUUAGGCACGCACCAUUGAUUUCGAAAUCGGAGUGCGCCAUCAGUUCCAAUGCCAAAAUCCUCGGCACUACUGUUCCCAACUUCACCUCGUACCUUUUGAAGAUAAGGAUCCGAAGCUUGUAGUUCCUUGAUCCUUUCCAAUAGGGUCGGUUGCACAACUAAUGCGGCAAGUGUAGUCGGCACUCCCGGCGCUACCACUUCCAACCCAAGUCUUUACAUUUCUUCGUGCAAUAGCGGUUGAGGCGUAAUUGCCAUCGCUAAGUUCUCCGCCGAUUUUCUACUUAGAACAUCGGCCACGACAUUGGCUUUUCCCGGGUGGUAUAGUAUAGUGACAUCAUAGUCCUUAAGCAACUCUAACCACCGCCGCUGUCGCAUGUUCAAUUCCUUCUGGGUGAACAAGUAUUUGAGACUCUUGUGAUCCGUGUAGAUCUCACAAUGCUCACCAUAUAAGUAAUGCCUCCAAAGCUUUAGCGCGAAGAUCACCGCGGCUAACUCGAGGUCAUGAAUCGGGUAGUUUUUCUCAUAACUCCUUAAUUGGCGCGAAGCAUAUGCAAUGACUCUCCCAUUCUGCAUUAAUACACACCCGAGACCAACAUACGAGGCAUCACUGUACACUACGAAGGUCUCCCUCGGAGUCGGCAAGGCAAGCACCGGGGUUGACGUCAACCUAUUCUUUAAUUCUUCGAAGCUCCGAUCGCAAUCGUCGCUCCAAACAUACUUUACUCCUUUAUGGGUAAGGCGCGUUAGUGGAGUAGUUAUUUUAGCGAACCUCUCCACGAACUGCCGGUAAUAGCCCGCAAGUUCGAGAAAACUACGGACCUCCGCUACACUUAUCGGGCGAGGCCAAUCCUUGAUUGCCUCCACUUUCUUCGGGUCUACCGAAACUCCGUCGCCCGAUACCACAUGACCCAAGAAUGUGACCUCCUUUAGCCAAAAGUGACACUUCUUUAACUUAGCAUAGAGCUUCUCUUGUCCAAGUAUUUGUAGCACAGCUCUCAAAUGCUCCUCAUGCUCCUCUUCACUCUUUGAGUAAACCAAUACGUCGUCUAUAAACACCACAACGCAUCGAUCCAACAACGGCCUGAAGACUCGAUUCAUCAAGUCCAUAAAUGCCGCCGGGCCGUUAAAAAGCCCAAACGGCAUUACCGUGAAUUCAUAAUGGCCAUACCGCGUACGGUACGCCGUUUUGUGCACAUCCUUCGGCCUAAUCUUUAGUUGAUGAUACCCCGACUGGAGAUCAAUCUUUGAAUACACCUUUGACCCUUGCAGUUGAUCGAACAGAUCGUCAUCCUUGGCAAUGGAUACUUGUUCUUAAUCGUUACUUUGUUCAACUCGCGAUAAUCCACGCAGAGUCGAAGUGUGCCAUCCUUUUUCUUCACAAAUAGCACCGGAGCUCCCCACGGGGACACGCUUGGCCUCACAAAGCCUUUAUCGAGCAAGUCUUGUAGUUGGGCUUUUAGCUCCACUAACUCUACCGAUGCCAUUCUAUACGGAGCCUUCGAAACUGGUUCCGCCCCGGGAAUCAAGUCAAUAACGAACUUGACCUCCCGGUCCAGUGGCAAUCCCGGUAACUCCGCCGGAAACACAUCCGGAUACUCGCACACUACCCGAAUAUUCUCUAACUCCGUGUACUCUUUCUGAGGGUCUACCAUGGUUGCCAAAUAGGUCUUACACCCUCCUUUGAUCAUCUUCUUCGCCCUCACCGACGAUAUGGUCGCCGCGAAGCGCUUGCUUUUGCAUGCUUGGUACACCAAUUCUUCUUGACUAGACUCACGAAAAAUGAUCACCUUGCUUUCACAAUCUAUGACCGCAUAGUACUUGGAAAGCCAGUUGGUUCCCAAGAUAACAUCGAAUCCCCACAUCUGAUCUAGACUAGCAGAUCUAUCGGCAUAAUCCAAUCGCCUAUUUGCACUGGACAAGCCAAACACUCCUCGUGCACUCUGAACGAAUGUUCCGGCGCAUUAACCCACCAAUAGUCAUAACUAUGCACUACUUUGAUACCAUGAGUUUUUGCAAAAGAUGCACCAAUGAACGAAUGUGAUGCACCAGUAUUGAAUAAAGCUCUAGCUCUAGUGCCUUUAAUCACAAUUAUACCUGCCACGACAUUGUCAGGUGCUGCAGGCUGCUCCUCUACUCGAGCGGCAAAGACUCGGCCGCUAGGCGCUCUCGAUCCCUCUGGCUGACGCGGUGAUGACGCGCGCCCAACCGACAUUGCUGGUGGCAACCCCGCAAGCUGUCUCGGGGUAGUCGGUGCUGACGCCACCGUCGGCGCAGACGACGUCCAGCUCGGGCACUCCCGGAUAAGAUGUCCUGGUUGGCCACACUUGAAACACUUGCCAUCGCGCGACGGGCAAGUCGACACUCGGUGCUCUCCGCCACUAAUGACGCACCGAGAUGGUCUCCAGUUCCUUGACUGCUGUCGGGGAUACCGAGGGGGUUUCUUAGCAUUUGGCCGGCCCGCGGCACCGCCCGCCGUUUGUUUCUUGCCUUUAUCCUUGCUUUCGGCCGUAGCCUCCCGUUCCUCUCGUACAUGGGUGCUACCGUGCUCCGCUCAUAAUGCUCUAUCAAAGACCUCCACAAAGGUCGUCAACUUCAAAAUCUGCACCUUCUCGUAUAUCCUCGGCUGGAGUCCUCGUAAGAACCAAUCAGCCCGAUCCCAAUCAUCUCGAACAAUAUCGGGAAUGCAGUCGAUAAUGUGGGAGAAUUCCUGCUCAUAUUCAUCCACCGAUCGAUCACCUUGCCUCAGCUUGCGAAACUUCUCUUGUAGUCUCCGCUUUACUGUAUCGGGGAAGUAGUUCGCGAACACCACCCUUUUGAACUCCUCCCAAAGCAUAAGCGGAAGAUCGGUAGGUCGAUCCCGCUUGACUCACUUCCACCACACCAUCGCCGCCUUCUUGAGACAAUGGGUGGCGAGGUACACUUUAUCCUUCUCCGAGGUAUUUAGAUCCUCGAAGAGCAUUUCCAUCGAGUCGAUCCACGACUCCACGCCGCCGCCUCCACCAAACAGCCUUCGAAGGUAGGUGGGUCGAACUUCUUAAACUGUAUGAGAGCCGCCAAUGUGCGCUCCCGCUGAGCCUCUACCGCCGCACUAUCGGGAUUUGAGGUUCCCGAUCCGACCGGCACUACCGUAACUGGCACCGCAGCGACUGGCUCAGCCGCCGCCGCCACUCCCUCGGCCGCACUCAGCACGACCAUAGGGGGCACAGGAGGCUCGGCGCCCACUUGAGCCUCCGCCUGUUGACGCUCCAAAGAUUCCUGGAGCCGUUGAAUCUGCUCCCCCUUGGCGUUGAAUAGACUCCGCUUGUUGCCGCACUACGCCGAUAAGCGCGGCCAUCUGCUCCCUAAGCUCUCCGUCGCUACUCGCUCCAGAUCGCUCGGGUGCCGCAUUCGACUCCUCAGGCAUCGACCUUGUCUGCGGUCGACCACGAGUUGCCAUUGCUUCCUGAAAAGAAGCAACUCACAUUAGCUACAUGACCAACAUUACUCAUCCAUACCCAAUUCGGCGAAAGCAACUUAUGUAUUCGUUCUCCCCAAGCAUUAUGUCGUCGGCCGCCCGACACAAAACAAGGAGUAGGGAACGAACAUCGAUUCAAACUUAGCCUCUAAUCACAUUAGAGACAUCCCAACUUGACCCAAUCACAUGCUUUCGCUAACUUUAAUUCCACGUCACUCACGUUUCCUAGAUACUUAAGGUCUUCCAAUCCUAAGGGUCUCUAGGUCCAUUCCUAUUCUUUCACUUUGGCUCUAAUACCACAAUAUUUGUCACGCCCCGGGACCGAUACCAAUUUGGGCCGGCCCGGGCAUGUCGAACAGACGCCGAACGGACAGAGUUUUCCCUGUCCGCCCAAGGCUCAUCACCUGUACAUUUUCAAGUAACGAAAAGCACUAGCGGAAAUAUAUACAAACGGCUUACACGAGGGUAAGCAAUAGCCAUGAGUGAAAGAAAGGAAACUAAACAUCUACACAAGUACUAUGAUUCUCUUUUGAUCACAUACAUUGCAUUUAACUUGUACAUUCAUAGUUCUUUACAUACUAUUCAUCAUUUCUUUUUACAUCACUUUUACUCAAAAUGAAACAUUACAUUCUCCUUGAAAUAAAUAUCACAUUCUUUUUUCUUUACAUCUCACUUCAUCACAUACAAAAGAUGAAGUAGGGGAAUGCUACUACAAAAUGUAAAACUCGACUUGGUAGUCACUGUCUAUGGCGCGAUACCUUUACCGCGGUCGCUCGCCGGCUCGCUCGGUCCCGGCUCUGUGGAAAUAGUGGGGUAAGAACUACAACGAAGUUCCCAAUAGGUUUGGCUCCAAUCUCACCGACUUUCCCACUAUGACUAACUCAGGCAUAAUAGAAAGAAUAAGCAAAUAAGUAGCCAACUAUACGAAUGCAACUAAUAUGCCUGAACAAUGCGAUCAAUAAAGAUGCUCAAUAUAACUCAUGAAGAAUGCAUGGUCUUUGUUCUUUGUUUUUUAUUCUUUGUUCUUGUUCUUUCAUUCAAUCUCAAGGCUAACUCGGUGGUAUCGCCUCAUUAACUCAUCAACUCAAAAUCCAUGAUCGCGGUCUCUCAGCUUCCUCCUGCUAGGACUGUCCUCUGAGUAACUCAACCCAGUGAUGGCAAACUCCGGAGCGCAUUGCCCGAGGGGGAGCGACCACCCUCGAGCAAGAACUUAUAGCGAGUAUGAUCAAUCCUUAACUCUAAGGAUAUUCAGUUCAAUCUGUUCCUUAACUCUAAGAAAUUUAUGCACAAAUGACCCUUAGCUCUAAGGUUGAAUGUCAUUGUGUCAAUCUCAAGUUCUUUGCAUUCUCUAUCUUCUACCAUGUCAUUACACUAACUCUAGUGUUCUUUACAUUCUUUACUAUCGUUCAUAUCAUACAUUAACUCAAGUAUUCUUUGAUGCCCCACAUUUAAUGCUAUCUCUAGCCAUUGUUCUUUAUGCCACAUUUUGUUGCUAACUCUAGCAAUUGUCAUUCUUUGAUGCCUCACAUUUGCUAACUCUAGCUUUUAUCAUUCUUUAUACCACAUUUUGUUCUCUUGAUGCCACACACUAGCUCUAGUGUUCUUUACGUCAAUCUUUAUGCUAACUCUAACUUUCAUUCUCACAUUUCAUUGUCCUUAUGUCAUAUGUCACUUGUUCUUUAACUUCAUUAUACUCUUAUCUCUUUUUACAUGCACAUAUAGGGUUAAUAAAUUCUCAUUGGUUCUCAACCAUCUCAUGAUGCACUUGAACUUACAAAAUGUAAACAUUCACAUAUUUGUAAUCUCAUUACCCUAACCAUGCAUGCAACAAUUAUAUACAUAUGCUCAAGAAGUGACACAUUAGAUAUAAAGAAAAUUCCAACAAGUUUGGAGAGCACCACCCACCUCGUAGGCUUUCUUAGGUGCUACGGUGAAUUUCUCAAAAUUUUUAGACUCUUAGUUCGUCACCUGCGGCAAAAUGAAGCCAAAUUAGGCCUUUUUGCUCAUAACUUUACAUAGACUUUUCGUAACGUCAAUCUGAGCACACCAUCGCGUCGGAAAUACCCCCAAUUAGGUUUCUAGAGGGUCAAUUUUACUUUGAAACCCUCACAAGAAAAAGUCCCAAAUUUGGGUGCCAUAGCUUCACAUAUACCAAAUCUAGCGCUUUGAUCUCUUAGAAAAGUAAAAGAAAGCUUCAAAUCCUCUAAAGGUUUUAUAAAAACUAUUCUUAGCUCAAUCCAAACUCUAGUUUGGAUUCUACCAUGAGAGAGGUUGAAGCUCACCUCUAAGCUUCACCACAUAUACCCAAUCUAUGGUUUUGAUCUCUUAAGGAAGUAAAAGAAAGCUUCAAAUACUCAAAAGGUUCUACCAAAACCAUUUCUAGGUCAUUUGGUUCUCAUUCUAGGGUUUUACCAUGAAAGGGAUCAAAACUUACCUCAAAGCUUUCCUUUCUUUGUACUAGAGGUGAAGGAAAGGGAGUAACUUCACUCCUUCUUCUUCUUCUCCACCUUCUUUCUCUUUUUCUUCUUCUUCUUUUCCUUUCUUUUCCUUUCUUUCCCUUUCUUUCUUCUUCUCCUUCUUGUCUUCUAGCGAGAGAAAGAGAGGAGAGAGUAUGUGAGAGGGAGAGAAUGAGAGGAAUAUCCCAUAACCCCUCAUAACAUAACCCACAUAAUGCAUUUUUGCAAAUAAACCCCUCAACUUUCACUUUAUUAAACUGCCAGAACUGGGCAGUUUUCGUGCUCGGGGACCGGUCUCCCCGACAUGGCACCGGUCCCAGAGAGCUCUCCCCGCCGGCAGCCACGGCCCCCGCGCAAUGCAACCGGUCUCUCCCAGAGGGACCGGUCUCUCGGGGACUUGUCUCUCCUCGCAGGGACCGGUUCCCGAGAGCUGAUUUUCUGGGACUUAGCCGAUUUCUUAGCUUUCUCAUUUCUCACGCAUUCAGGGACCGGUCUCUCCCACCAGGGACCGGUCCCCGAGAGCACAAAAGCUGCAGUUUGCAGAUUUUUGAUUAUUUAGCUCUCGAAAACCUCCCACAAUGCACUUUUACUUAUUUUAACACCUUCGGACUUUCCGAAGGGUACCAAUCUCGCACUUUGGUCAACUUGACUAAAGCUCGAUAUUCAUUUUUCAAAUUUUCGGUAUAUUACAUAAACACUUGCAUAUGGAUAUUAGGAUAGGUGUCAUGCCCUCGCCCCGAGGCCACUACCAAUUUGGUCCGGUUCGGGCGCGGCGGACGGACGCCGAACGGACAGCACCUUGCCUGUCCGCCCAAGGCCAAACAACCUGAUCAAGUACAAUUAAGCGCCCAGGAAUUGCUUAAAUAACAUACAUGAUCAAUACGAUGCACACAAGUGUAAUACAGCUAAGAGCAAGAACCAUAAGUGAUAUACAAGUGUAUAAAGAGAGAUAGUCUAACUAUUACAACCAUUCCAUAGUUACAUCAUUUGAUUACAUUACAUUUUUAUCUUCCAAAAUGUAAAUACAUAUUUUUCUCCAAAAUACAUCAUAGCUCUCCAAUGCCUAUCCAAAAUAUACAUCUUCUAGUACACGAAGGUACUCUAUAUGCAAAAAGGAAAGCUACUAACUACUCACUUAGGGCGCUAUGCUCUUGCCGCGAUCCUCGCUCGGCUCGCCCCUGUAUGUACCUGUACUCCAAAACCACAUGAGGUGAGAACUAUAUAAAUAUAGUUCCCAGUGGGUUCGGCCGCCGACGCCGCCGGUUUUCCCACUAGGUCUAAGCUGGCACAAAUAGAGAGAUAGAUAGAUAUAUAGAAAAAUGAACUGCAACUACUCUAUCAUGCCAUCAAUGAUAAUAAUGCAUGCAACAACUACUAUCAUGCUAGUAUUAUGUCAUGAGUAUAAAAAGGUACAUAGCAAUGUAAACUACAACAUACACUAUGUCUACUCAAGAUAAUGUUGCAAAUCUACUAUGCAUUUCAUGUUUAUUACCCAAUCUACUUGGCUAACUCGUAGGUUAUGCCCACGACUCACUCUCAAUCUCAUAGGUGAGGAGAAGCUGCACUCGCACACCGAGAUCGUCUGCGGGACAACUAUGUCUGCCCCUAGUGAAGUACUCCGGAGACUCGUGCCUUGGUGGAGCGACCACCGACAAGCAAAACAGACUAGUGAGAAUGAUCCAAUCAUCACAAGAAGAUACCCUAUCUACAAGGGUCAAUGUGCCUCUGCUGUACAAUAUACAAUGCAUCCUAGAUGCUGGGACCACUACUAUCCCAAGAACCAUGUCAUGUUUACUACACUAGACUCGAUGCCACUCGUUCAGUCGUUGUAGUAAUAUCUUCUAACUAGUCGAUAUGCCACUCGUUCAAGUUUAGUGUUUCUACUACACUAGUCAAUGCCCCUCUACUAGGCUAUGUCCAAGUUCAUCACUUUUGCCAUUAUAGGAUUCUUUGUCUCAAGACCCAAUCCUCAUGCCUCCAUAGUCCAAGUGUUAAGCCCAUACCGCUACACUACUAAGUAACCAUGCAAGGAAUGGAAACAUACUUCUACUAAUCCUAUAAUGCACAAUCAACAUAUGAUGAAUAAAAUUAACUUAGAUAUAAAAGGAAACCCGGAUCCUUCGGGAUGACACCCCCCACCUCUUGAGGGUAUGGAGGCUCUAGAAAUGCCCUCCAACGGGCGUUACGACGACUUCUCGGCCUCUUAGGUCGAAAUGAAGCUUAGUUGGCCUUGUUUCGCCAAUAUCUUUUCACCCGUUUGACGAAUGAAAAAUCCGACUUCGCCCCCACGUUUAGGCAUCUAGCAAUUAGAUUUACAAGGCCUCAAAUGAGAUCAAUCUCAUGAUUUACCAAAAAAACUAUUUUGGAGCCCUAGGGUACACAUCUUGCUAUUUGCCAUUUGGAACCCUAGCUCUAGCUUUAAUACACAAACAAUGGUGCUAGAGGUCCAUUUCACCCAUUUUCCAAAGCUCAAAACCCAAAAACCCUAAGUUCCAUAAGCUAGGGUUCAAGAGCUUAUCUCUUGAACUACUCCAAUGGUGAGGAGAGGAAGAGGAAGAUGCUCCAAGCCUCCUUGAGCUUGAUCUUCUCCUCCUUCUUCUUCUCUUUUCUUCUUCUCCUUCUCUUUUCCUUCUAGAGAGAGAGAGGGAGCAAGAGAGUGUGAGAGAGGGAGAGAGAAAUGAGAGGCUGAGGGAGAGAGAGGGCCCAUAUGCCUCUCUAAUGUAACAAUAUCCAGAUUAGCCCCUCAACUUUUGUCUCCAUGCACUGCCCUCACUGGGCAUUCUGCGCCCAGAGGGACCGGUCUCCCCGACCUAGGACCGGUCCCCGAGAGCCUCAGCCUGGGUCACGCGUUCGGGAACCGGUCCUUCCCUGAGAGACCGGUUCCCGGGAGACCGGUUCCCUCUUGAGAGACCGGUUCUCGAGAGCUGGGAUUUCGGGACUUAGCCAAUCUUGGCUUUUCUCGCUCGGUCACGUUCGGGGACCGGUCUCUCCCUGCCAGGGAUCGGUUGCCUCAAGAAUCCCCGCAACCACCAGCCGAUGGGAACGGUCCCCGAGAGCAAUUUUGCUCCUGUACAGGUUUUGCACUAUUCGCUCUCGUGGACUCAUUUUUAAUGCACUUUUGGUGACUUUGACAUCUUUGGCUUUUCCAAAACUCACCAACCCGACCCUUGGUCGAUUCUGGAUGAAGUCUAACUCUCGUAUUUCGAGAAUUUACUUCCUUACAAUAGGUGGAUUCCCGACUGAAUAAUAGCCCUAGUGGAUAAGGUAUCCUCGAGUUGAGAGGAUUGGAUCAUACUCACUGUCUGUUCAGAGCUUGUGGUGGUCGCUCCACACAAGCGUGCGCUUUGAAGUUUGUCACACGAGGGAUAGCCUUAUAGGGUCCAACUGUAACAUACCACAUCCCUCGUAAGUCGUGCCGAGUUCCGUCGAAACGAGCAGAACACGGAAUUGAACGAGUUACAGUGGACCCUAAGUGCAUUGGAGUUCAUAAAUGGAGCAAAAAGGGACCCGGAGAGCAAAUCUGGAAAUCUGGCUAAGUCCCAGAUUUUGAGCUCUCGGGGACCGGUCCCUGAAGGAGAGACCGGUCCCCGUACGCGUAGCCUGCCAGGAAAUCCUGAGGCAUCCGGUCCCUGGUGGUGAGACCGGUCCCUGACGGGCAGACCGGUCCCUCGCUGCGCAACAGCCGAAAAACUCGAAAAUUUGGCUAAGUCCUGGAAAACCCCCGUUCGGGAACCGGUCCCUGGUCGGGGAGACCGGUCCCCGAAGGCGAAAAUUGCCCAGUCUGGGCAGAUUGAUGGGAAACAAGUGGAGGGGCUUAUGUGCAAUUGUUACAACACUAUAUGUGGCCCAUCCCCUCUCUCCCACAGCCAUUUCUCUCCUCCUCUCUCAUUUUCUCUCUUUCUCUCUCUAGAACUCCUCUAGAACUUGGAGAAGAAGAAGAAGAGUUUGAGGAAGAAGGUGGAUUUUGGUGCUUUGGAGAUUCUAGGAGCUCUCCAACAAGAAGGAUCUUGGUGGAGCUUGGACUAGAGGUGAGUUUUGUGAGGUUUCCCUCUAGGGUUUGGGUUUUAACUUAAGGAAUUGGAGCUUUGUGCUCCUUAGAGGUAUUAGAAGCUCUUUUGAGCCAUGGAUACCAUGGAACCCAUGAGAGCUGAAGGUGCUCUCAUGGUGAAUCCUUGGAGAUGAUGUUUGGAGCCCUAGGGUUGGUACCAAAGGUCUAGAAACCUUACUAGGAUGCUUCUUAGAUGAUCCUAAGCUAUCCUUUGCUUAGGGUUGGGAUCGAUUCAUGGGGAAACCCUAAAUGGCAACAUUAGGGCUUGAAUUUGGGGUUUUUGCCCUAGGAUUUUUCGGGGACAAAUUGACCCUGUAGAAACCCAAUUGGGGGUGCCCAAAACACGUCGGACAACUUCGUUUAAUAUUUCGAAAAUGUUAGAGUAUAGUUCAUGUACAAAAAGGCCUAAUAUGGCACUAUUUGAUUAUAGGGCGCGGAAUCGGCUUUCGUAAAGUGCGGGGGCCUUAAUAUUCUACACCCACACGACUCACAGAGGUGGGGGGUGCACGCCGGAAUCGUUGGAUUCCCCUCUAUGUCUAUUUCUCUAUUUUUGAGCAUAUAUAUAUAUAUAUAUACCCAUUCAUGCAUAGUAGGGUAGCUACAUGUGGAACUUGGUUUGAUUUCAUUUUUAUGCUUCUAAAGUAGUUGAACGUAGAAGAAUGAUAGAACCAAAACGGACAUGUGUGAUUGGACCCUCGAGAUGUGUGAACAUAAGUAUGGACUUGGACAUUAGAAAACAAGGGUGUCAUUGACAUAGAAACAAGAAUUGCAUUGAGAGAUGAACCAUUGAAUAUAGUUUAACCCACGUUGACAUCGUCGAAGGUAAAGCCUUGAAAGUGACAAGAAUAAAUAGAUAGAGACCUAUCAUAAUAUUGGCAUUGUGACUAAUGGCUAUGAGUCCUCAAGUUGAGGAUUAGAUCGAUACUCACCUUUCGUCUUGGCUUGAGGGAGGUCGCUCCCCCUCGAGCGGUGCGCUCCGGAGUUGGUCACCACUGGGCGUGGUAAAGUCCCACCAGUUGACGGUCCCCAGGGAGGUUCGAGUCCCCCGUUAUUAAGGGAUUAUGGGUUGUGAGUUAUUGGGGUUAACAGAGUUAACCGGUAAGAUUGGGUAAGAGCUAGAGUUUGAUUAUGAUUGGAGCAUGCAUGCAUUUCCAUUUUCGCAUUGAAAUUGUAUAUCUACUGACUUUUUCUUGCAGGCAUAGUAUUAGUUGCAUUAGUAAUGGUUACUUUUCUUCCUUUGAAAUACUUAUGCCUGGAUAGACCUAGUGGGUAAGUCGGCGAGGUCGGAUGCCGAGCCCACUGGGAACUUCGUUGUAGUUCUCACACCACUAACCCUACAGGUCCUAGCACGAGCGGGGCGGCGGAGGACCGAGGCAAGGGUUUGGCGCCGUAGGUAGCGGCCACCGGGGACUUUAUGCAUUUUGUAGUCAUUCCCUUUUGUUAUACAUGUAUCAACUUUAUUUUGUUGAUUUAGGUAUGUAAAGUGAAAACAAUCAUGUAUUUGGUGGAUGACUAAAUGUAAAAAGAUAUGAUGGUUGAAUGGAAUGUAAUAGUUUUACAUUAGCUUUGUUUACUUGAAUUUGGUUUAAAUGAAAUCAAAUAUCAUGUGUAAUCUAUAUUUAGCUUAGAGCUUUCGCUUCCGUUGUUGCUUGCCCUCGUGCAAGCCUUGUAUUAUAUUUGCAAUUCUCUUGUUAAUUGCCUAAUUAUGUGUAUUGUUAGAGCCUUGGGCGGACAGGGGAGGCUCUGUCCGUUCGGCGUCUGUUGACGUGACCCGAACCCGACCAAAUUGGCGGGGAUUGGGGCGUGACACCAACAGACGGGUUUGCUGAGCGAGUUGAGUCUCCUUACCCAUAAGAUGCAUGUGAGUCGUGGGCGAACCUCAGGGUUGGCCAAGGAUUGGUUAAGCCAAAAGAAUUGAUGAACAAGUAAAUAGCAUUACUUCUUGGACAUAGUGGCAUGUUAGUUGAUUACCUAUCACAUUGUGCAUGCAUACAUUGUAUAUGAUUUCGGCAUAAUAGCAUAGCUUUCUUACUAUAUCGUUACUGUUUUUACAUAUCUAUCUAUCUAUCUGCUUGUGCCUACUUGGACCUAGUAGGGAGAUCGGGGGAGUCGGCGGCCGAACCCACUGGGAACUAUGGACUAUUGUGACGCACUAGACCUUGCAAAUUGUGGGGUUUGAGUGAUUGGUUGUGUUCUGAGCUUUUCCAGAUUUUCUGGUGGGUCGUUGAAAGUGUUCCGACCUAUGGUUCGAGUCCCGAGAAUUGUGGUUUAAACCUGUGUACCAAAAUCUAAAAAGUUAGAUUUUUGGUCAGCCUUCGGGUAGCCUUCGGCAGGCUGUGUACCGGUACGGGCUUGGUGGCUGUACCGGUAUGGGGUUGAUGGCUGUACCGGUACAGGCCCGCAUACCGGUACACAGACGGCUUUUCGGCCAAACCCGAGGCUCGGGUUUGCAUUUUCGUGGGUGGUGUACCGGUACACAAUUUCGUGUACCGGUACACAGUGCAGAUUGGGACUGUUUCGUGGAGGGGUGUUUUUGCAAUUGUUGCAACACAUAUAUAUUACACCCCAGCCCCUUUAGAGGGUUUUCUUGUGCCCUAACCAGAGGAGAUAAGGUGAGACUCUCCCCCUUUGAUCUCUUCUCCAUUUUUGAUGGAUUUUGGUUGGUUUUGAUCUCUCCUCUCUUCUCCACCUUGUUUUUUGUUGGGUUUCCUCUAUUGUUGAAGGCUUGGAGCUUGGAGAGGAGCUUGUUUGAGAGGAGAUUUUCAACUCCACUUGGCUUGGAGCUUGGUUUGGGACAUCUUGUGAGGUGAGUAUUCAUGAUCUUUCUUUUAGAGCAUGUUUUGGUAGUUUUCCUCUUUGGAAACCCUAGAUUUUGGAUUCUAGGGCUAGGAUUGGGAUUUUUUGAUUUGAGGGCUUUGGAGCCAAAUUGAUGGGUUUAGAACCUUUGUUUAAGUUUGAUUGGAAGGACUCUAGCUCCCAUUUAGAGAUUGAGAGAGCUUCCUUCGCAAUCGGUGAGUUUUCUUCAACCCUAGCCCGAAUUGGUUAAUGAUUGUGCAAUCCGUUGUUCGUUCGUUUGGGUAACACUUGUUCCUACAUCCUUAGGGUACUAGGAGGCUAGUGGACACCUUCGUUCGGCGAAACGAAGAGUUCGAAAAAUCGGUGGGUUUGGCUUCAUGAUUUGGGGGCAAAAUGGCCCCUAUGAGUAAAAUACUUGUCUUUUUGUGAAAGUAAAUGCAUAUUCAUGCUAGAUAGAAUUUGUAUGAAUUUUGGAACGCUUAAAACCCAUGCAUUAUGUGUCAUGAGAACUUCGCUCUAUGUAGUAGAGCCUUAUUUGUAGUAUGCAUGCAUGUGUUCCGGAUUCUUUAUUGCAACUUGAAAAUAUGUCUCUUAUGUGGGAAAAUGACUAGAAUCAUGCAAUCUUAAGCAUAAUUGUCAUGCUAUGACUUAGUGAGCAAAAGUGUCAUAAAGGGGCACUUGAACUAGAAAACGGUUGAACUGCAACUUAGAGACAUGAUGAUAGGCCAUUGUACAUCUGCUAUAUUCCAUGUUAGAGACAUGAUGACAUAGAGAUAGGCCAUGAUGACAUUUGACAUAUUCCAUGUUUUAGACAUGAGGACUUGGUACUUGAGACAGAUCAUUGCUUGCUUGCCAUUGUGCUCAUUCGCACAUGCUUGUGAGGGUCGCUCCCUACAAGCCGGCACUCCGGAGAUAGCCAUCGCGACAUAUGCUCACCCGUGCGGGAUUGGGCGCCGAAGUGGAUUGCCGUGGGGGAGGCUCAUCCCUAGAGUGGGGAUGUUCACUACCACGGGGCCAUUAGGCACGGCGGAGGCCAGACAGCCUUCGGGUGGGUCUUAUAUGAUUGGGACUUAGUGACAGAACAUACUACGUGAACUUUAAAACUAUUAAAGUGGACUUGGAUUAGAAUAGUAAACAAUGACAUCUUUACUAUUUUUGCAUUGAGGACAUCGGGUUGGGUGCAUUUCUGUGAUUAUGCAUGUCAUACAUAUCCAUGUACAUCCAUGAUAUAGUUGCCUUAUUACUUAUGCAAAUCAUACUAAGUAGAGACUUUAUGUUAUAGUAAGUUACAUUUUACUUACCUUUCGCUUUACUACACUGUUAGUCACUGACCUCUUUUUAUAGCUUUUGGGCCUUGUGACGCAGUUCACUGAAGUCAGUAAUUGCCCACUGGGAACUAUUUUUAAUAGUUCUCACGCCCCUAUUUUCGUGAUUUCUUUCAGAGCCUUCUGCACCGGCGGAGGCACGGGAUCGCGGCAAGGGAAUCGCAUAGCUAGCUAGCGAGAAGUGGUUCUUUGCCUAGGUGGUUUACUCUUUCUUUUUGUAAAUGAGAGAGAGUGAGAGAUUUUGUAUCCAUGUAUAGAGACCACCUAUGUAUCUACCUUUAGCACUUGUAUUGAGAUUUCCAUUGUAUUACUUUAUGCCUUUAUUAGUGGAUUCCAGCUUUGUGUUCUUUUCUCUAUUGUAGAACUUAGUAUUAUAUUAUGCUCUGAUACUCCUAGAUGUCCUUUAUUAUUGCUUCAAUUAUCGUUGUUUUAGACGCCUUAUAUGUUUUAGACGUAUGGCGGGUCUGGACACGUGCCGUGCGGGCUUCUGCUGGUGUCACGCCCGGGUACCAGCGGAAGCAUAUCCGGUACGUGAACAGACCCGCCAUACACCUGCAGUAUAUAAGGCGUCUACAAACAAGCAAGUCGAUAGGAAGAAGAUCAUAGAAAAUUCUAACCUGAUAUCAGAGCAAAGUACAAGUCAACAAUACAAUCAACAAUAGAGUAAAGGAGUAUAGUCCAAAAAUCUCAACCACAAGAUGAGUAUCACAACUAAAGUGACUGUCCAAAAGUACAUAUACAUCACGGGGUAUACAAAAGAAUAGGUACAACGGUGGUCUAUCUAUACAUAGGGACAUCACCCUCGGCCGUAGCCCGAGUAGCAAGGUGAUCGACUAGCACGCUCCUAGUAGUCCCUAGCUAGGCGCGACUCCCUUGCCACGAUCCCUAGCCUCUCCUGUAAAUGGCUCUGUAAAAAACAACCACCAAAAGGGCGUGAGAACUAUUAACAAUAGUUCCCAGUGGGUAAGCCGCCAGCCUCGGCGAAUUACACCACUAGGCUCAAGAUGUACUAAAUGAAAGCAAAAACAAUAAUUUGCAUGAUGUAUAAGCAUGAUGCUAAUAAGUAAUAAGCAUGUAAUCAACAUGUAAUAGCUUUCUACAGUAAUGAACCAUUUGCAUAAAAGAGAUAUAGCAACUUCUGUAAUCAUGAACAUAGACAUGAGUAUAAGCACGAACAUAAAAGUGACUACUGUACACUUUAAGUAAUAAACAUUCAUUACUGUCCUUUUUCAUUUAGUACUUUCCUUUCAUUCACAGGGACCUACCCAAGGUAGUCCAGCUUGCGCCGCGCCUAAUGGCCCCGUGGUAGUAUACACUCCCCACGGCAAUCCACUUCGGCACCCAAUCCCGCACGGGCGAGCAACUGUCGCGUAGGCCAACUCCGGAGUGCCGGCUUGUAGGGAGCUACCCUCACAAGCGUGUGCGAAUGAGCACGAUGGCAAGCAAGCAAAUUCCACUGUCCACAUGUCUCAAUUCUCAUGUUUUCAUUUGCAAUGUUCUCGCUCUCGAUCCUUUGAUCGACAUUUCAGUAUAACAAAUAUUAACAACAACUAGAAUCCACUAGUUUAGUAAGCAUGCAGGAGUAAUGCUAAUUUACAUAUGGCAUUAGAAUCUUUCACUAUCAUGGCACUAUCAACAUAGGCACAAGCAUGUCAUAGUUCUCUACUUCAGAGUCAAGAGAAUGUCAUUGUUCUCUACUUGUAAUCAAGCGAGUAAAAAGAGAAUGUCAUUGUUCUCUACGUUUCAUGAGCAUAAUAACGUGUCUCAUUAUUAUUCAACUAAACCAAACAGGAAUAUGAAUACAUUUAGGCGUGAGGAUUCUCUACUUCAUAGAGAUUCUAUGUCAAUAUAGUAAAUGUUAUGAUGACGAAUUCUCAAGCCCUUUAGCUAUCACAUAAGCACACAACUAACACAUUUCUAUAAUACAUAUAGAACAUAGAGGAGCUUCACUUGCUCUGGUUAGGUCCGACCCACCUAGUACUAGGCUCCAAAACAGUCCAAGGAGUUCCAAGGAUCAGCUCCACUAGGUCGCAAUCCUGCUGAACACGAAGCAUACAUAUCGUAUCAAAAUUACGAUCGAAAAGGCCAAUUUCGGCGCAAUUACACUUUGUACAUUGGAAUAGCUUAAAUCCCUGUUUUGGCUUAGUUCAAUACCUCACGUUAAGCUUCCAGAAGGCCCUCCAAGGCCAAACGAAGGCGGUCCAAGGGUCAAACACCCUCUUGCUGCGAACAAUUCCGAAACGACAUCAAACUCAUCAAUAAUAGCAAUUAUGGUCGGAAUCUUGCAAUUUCGGCUUCCUAACUGCAAUUCUUACUUACCUUAGGGUAGAACAACUUCCAAACCAGCUUCAACGAGUACACGUUCAGCUCAACGAGGCUCGAAGACCUGCUGCGAAGUCAACGUACAAAACUGCAUCAAUUUGAUCGCAUAAACCGUGUAUAGUCCGAAAUAGCUUCAUAAAUGGCUAAUUAUCCUAAUUAAGCUUUAAAGUAGCUUAACCCUGGUCAAAGAAGGUUAAUUCACAGCUAAUUAACCCAUAUAUACAUGCUGAAAUCUCAGGUUAAAACAGUUGGAAGCAAAAACAUGAAAUCAAUACACAAAUCGACCAAUAAAGCGCCGAUAACGGAAAAAUCAAGUCGUUUACCUUCUCAAGCUUCCAACCAGCACCUCACUGGUCCAGGGCUGCGAAAAUCCCUCCAAAACGCUCUCUUGCACGUGCACAAAGGUGCUGCGACGCUCGCAACCAGCGAAGAACGCGCGCGGCGACGAAAACGAGCGAAAUCGGCGAAUUCGAUGUAGAGAGAGAAAAACCCUAGAGAGAGAGAGUGAGGAAGGUGGGAGAACCUUUCUCUGAGCCCAGCACCCUCCACUGAACAUCCCUGGUCGAGCUGGGGUCAAGUGGAUAGGUAUCAAGUGUGAAAUGACCGAAAUAGCCCUGCUGCCACGAAUUGCCACUGUGUACCGGUACACCAUAGCGGCUGUACCGGUACAGCAAGCAGAAAAGGCUGAUUUUCGCCAGUUCAAUGCACUUUCUCACUUUUCGCAUUCCAAUCAUCCUCUAACUUAUCCAAAAACUUGUUCUAACCUUUUAGAACAUGUAGGAGUGAUCCACACACCAUUCCACAUACUCGAACUCCGCAAUUUGCAAAAGUUCAGUGUAUUACAGCUGGGUCCCGGGACAUGACAGAUUAAUUUGGUAUCAGAGCCUAGGGUUGAGUCUUAGGGGACCUAGCAAACCUUAGGCCGGUUGGACUGUAGGAAAUAGGCUCGUGAGAGACGAGGUCUAUUCGAUUUGUAAGCGGGAGUAUCUUGAUUGGGUAUCUUUAAUAACUCUAGGAAGUGGAGUUAAAUUGAAGUGUAUAGCUUCUAACUUCGCGGAGGGUUACGUUGGCGGCCGACAACAUAACAUCGGGAGUUAGUGGUGAAAAACACUUCCUUACUUUCGCAUGAUUUGGGUUUUACUUUGAGCGGGGAUGCGUUGGCGUGGAUUUUUACUAACUUACGCUUUUAUGAUGUUGUAGUGAAGAUGCCGAUUACUCGCUCCCAAUCUGCCGGUGCGGACUAUGCGGCAAACUUUGAGGAGGUCGAGACCUCCACGAGACCUCCGCUACCUCCGGAUCCAGCGAGGUCCGUGAGUUGAGGGGCCAGCUUGCGGCCCUUACUGAUUUAGUCACUCAGCAGGCGGAGGCGGCCCGACAGCAGACCGAGGCGGCGCGCCGACAGGAGGCGUGGAUGAAGCGUCUGGAGGACCUACUAUUGCAGCAGGCGGCAGCUUCUAGGGAGACGCAAGCCCCUACACCGCCAGCACCAGUUGUGGACGUUGCACCGAGAGCGCUGUCCCCCGCACCCAGUUCUUCGCGUGCGGCGCCUGUGGCCGCACCCCAGGAGGAGGUUUUGGCGCCACCACCUGUUCAGAGGCCCCCAGCUGGAGCGGCAUUCCCUACCUUGGUCGAGGGGGCGGAGCGAGAUAGACUGAUGGAGCGCCUCAAUGAGUUCAGGAGGCGCAGCCCCCGAGUCUUCGACGGCGAGAAGGUCGACCACUGGAUCGUGGAGAAGUGGUUGAUGCAUAUGGAGAAGCUCUUCCGCGACACCUUCGUGGAGGAGAGGGACAGAGUUUGGCUCGCCACUCACCACUUGGAUGGCGAGGCCUACCGCUGGUGGUUGGAUCUCUAGGAGCACCCCAGCACUAACUUGGUAGCUAUCACUUGGACGAGGUUCAAGGAGCUUCUUUUGGCGCACUACUUCCCGACCAGCGUCAAGAGGAAGAUGGAGUAGGAUUUGCGCAGCUUGCGCCAGGGUGACAGGACUGUAGCCGAGUACGAGAGGGAGUUUUCUCGGCUUCUGCACUGCGUGCCUUUCGUCAUGCGGGACGACGAGGAUAAGGCCCGCAUCUUCGAGCGAGGGUUGCGACCGUCUAUCUUCCGGUUUGUGCAAUCCUCUAACCUCCAAACCUACCGGGAGGUGGUGGAUCGCGCGCUCAUUAUGGAGAGCAGCUCGGCGGAUGUCCAGGAGCAGCGAGAGGCUAGGGACAAGGGUAAGGCCAAGAGGCCUGCGGCUGAGGGUGCGAGCCAAACGCACUCUAGGAGGCCGCCAAAGCAUCCGAAGAGCCAGCAGCGUGGACGCGGCUCAGCAGCUCAGCAGGGAGGUUAUGAUCAACGCCGGCCCUCCCCGUGCGUGAUCUGUGGUGGUCCUCAUCACCCACCGCAGUGUCCACAGCGGGCGGGCAGGUGCUUCCAGUGUGGCCAGGAGGGCCACAUGCGGACUGAGUGCCUGAGGGGUUCUUCACCGGCACCGUCGACUGCAUCGGCACCGGCUCUACCAGCCGCCAGCCAGGGGACUCCGUCAGCAUAGUAUCAGCCUGGGCGGCCACCCGUCCAGCGCCAGAGUGAGGGAUCUCGUCAGGCCCCGAGCGGGCACAUGUACGCCACUCAGACCGAGGAGGCGGUAGCAGCCGAGGAUGUUGUUGCAGGUAUCAUUUUACUUGAUGGCAUUAGAGUUCGUGCUUUAUUUGAUACCGGUGCAUCGCAUUCAUUCAUAGAUCGGCUGUUUGCCGAGUUGUAUGGCAUCCCAUUGGUUUCUUUAUUGCAUACGGGACAUGUUGUUGUACCCAACCACGUUUUGGAUAUUAGAGAGUAUAGCCCCAGUUGCCCUAUUCGGAUAGGAGAUUGGAUUAUGCAUGUAGAUUUGCUAGCCUUGCGCAAGCUGGGGGAUUUUGACGUGGCCUUGGGCAUGGAUUGGUUGACCAAGUAUUAUGCCACGAUUGAUUGCAAAAAUCGCACGGUUACUUUUAGAGAACCUGGGCAGACUGAGGUGGUAUUUAGGGGAUGCCGGAGUUCGCUGUUUGCGAUGACGAUCAGCUCGUCUCGAGCUAGGCAGCUGAUCAGUAGAGGUUGUGUAGCCUAUUUGGCUAGUAUUGUGCUGAGGGGCGAGGAUGACACCCCUAGGAUUGAGGAUAUUCCGGUGGUGCGGGAGUUUCGAGAUGUGUUUCCAGCUGAGCUACCAGGUAUGCCUCCUGAUAGGGAGAUUGAGUUUGGGGUAGAUCUCGUCCCUGGGACUACCCUAAUCUCAAAGGCGCCCUAUAGGAUGGCACCGGCAGAGCUGAGGGAGCUGAGGGCACAGUUGCAGGAUUUGUUGGACAAGGGCUUCAUUCGACCGAGCGUCUUGCCUUGGGGAGCACCAGUUUUGUUCGUCAAGAAGAAGGACGGAUCGUUUCGCCUUUGUGUGGAUUAUCGCGAACUUAACAAAGUCACGAUCAAGAACAAGUAUCCGUUUCCGAGGAUCGACGACUUGUUUGAUCAGCUUCAGGGAUCGUGUGUGUAUUCCAAGAUAGACUUGCAGUCUGNGACAUGUUGUUGUACCCAACCACGUUUUGGAUAUUAGAGAGUAUAGCCCCAGUUGCCCUAUUCGGAUAGGAGAUUGGAUUAUGCAUGUAGAUUUGCUAGCCUUGCGCAAGCUGGGGGAUUUUGACGUGGCCUUGGGCAUGGAUUGGUUGACCAAGUAUUAUGCCACGAUUGAUUGCAAAAAUCGCACGGUUACUUUUAGAGAACCUGGGCAGACUGAGGUGGUAUUUAGGGGAUGCCGGAGUUCGCUGUUUGCGAUGACGAUCAGCUCGUCUCGAGCUAGGCAGCUGAUCAGUAGAGGUUGUGUAGCCUAUUUGGCUAGUAUUGUGCUGAGGGGCGAGGAUGACACCCCUAGGAUUGAGGAUAUUCCGGUGGUGCGGGAGUUUCGAGAUGUGUUUCCAGCUGAGCUACCAGGUAUGCCUCCUGAUAGGGAGAUUGAGUUUGGGGUAGAUCUCGUCCCUGGGACUACCCUAAUCUCAAAGGCGCCCUAUAGGAUGGCACCGGCAGAGCUGAGGGAGCUGAGGGCACAGUUGCAGGAUUUGUUGGACAAGGGCUUCAUUCGACCGAGCGUCUUGCCUUGGGGAGCACCAGUUUUGUUCGUCAAGAAGAAGGACGGAUCGUUUCGCCUUUGUGUGGAUUAUCGCGAACUUAACAAAGUCACGAUCAAGAACAAGUAUCCGUUUCCGAGGAUCGACGACUUGUUUGAUCAGCUUCAGGGAUCGUGUGUGUAUUCCAAGAUAGACUUGCAGUCUGGAUACCACCAAUUGAAGAUCAAACCCGAGGAUGUAUCGAAGACAGCUUUUAGAACACGGUAUGGACAUUAUGAGUUCACAGUUAUGCCGUUCGGGCUUACUAAUGCCCCGGCAGCUUUUAUGGAUCUAAUGGACUGUGUUUUCAAGCCUUAUCUAGACAGGUUCGUCGUAGUGUUCAUCGACGACAUUUUGGUUUACUCUCGAAGUGAUGCAGAUACGAGGAGCAUUUGAGAAUUGUACUCCAAGUACUUCGGGAAAAGGAGCUUUAUGCCAAGUUGAAUAAAUGUGAAUUUUGGCUUCGAGAGGUAGCCUUUCUUGGACACUUGAUUUCUGGAUCGGGUAUAGCCGUGGAUCCUAAGAAGAUUGAAGCAAUCAAGGAUUGGCCGAGACCGACGAGUGUCGCGGAGAUACGGAGUUUUCUUGGAUUGGCCGGUUACUACCGGAGAUUUGUCGAGGGAUUUGCAAGAUUAUCUACUCCCCUCACGAGGUUCACGCAUAAAAGAGUCAAGUUCAUUUGGAAUGAUACGUGCGAGCGAAGCUUCCGAGAGUUGAAACAAAGAUUGACUACCGCCCCGAUCUUGACCCUACCAGUAGCUGGAGCAGGGUAUGUGGUUUAUAGUGAUGCUUCACUUAAUGGAUUGGGCUGUGUAUUGAUGUAGGAUGGCAAAGUGAUCUCGUAUGCUUCUCGCCAACUAAAGGAAUAUGAAAAGAACUAUCCGACGCAUGAUUUGGAGUUGGCGGCCGUAGUGUUCGCAUUGAAGCUAUGGCGCCACUAUAUUUAUGGCGAGCGGUGUGAAGUGUACACGGAUCACAAGAGCUUGAAGUACCUGUUUACUCAGAAGGAGUUGAACUUGAGGCAGCGCAGAUGGUUUGAGCUACUCAAGGAUUAUGAUCUUACUAUUCUUUACCACCCAGGCAAGGCUAAUGUGGUUGCGGAUGUGCUAAGUAGGAAAUCGACGGAAAACUCAGCGAUGCAUUUGGUUACCCAACCGCAGUUGAUCGAGCAGAUGAUGCGGAUGGAGUUAGAGGUGGUGACUCCUGACACACCCUUGAGGUUGAUGACAUUGGUUGUGCAACCUACUCUUAUGGAUAGAAUUAAAGAAAAGCAAGCUUCCGACAUGGAGUUGCACAAGAUUCGAGAAAAAAUGGUUGAUGGUUGCACCGCUGAUUUCCUAGUGGACGAUCGAGGGUUGAUGCGUUUCCGCGGACGGAUUUGUGUACCGGCGGAUUUGGGAAUUAAACAGGACAUUCUUUAAGAAGCGCAUCGAGCGCCCUAUGCUAUACAUCCGGGAGGCACCAAGAUGUAUAAGGAUUUAAAGCUGCUCUAUUUGUGGCCCGGAAUGAAAAAGGACGUUGGCCAGUUUGUUGCUAGAUGUUUAACUUGCCAACAAGUUAAAGCUGAGCACCGAGUUCCCGCAGGAAAACUUCAGAGUUUGCCUAUUCCCGUGUGGAAAUGGGAGAAGAUCACCAUGGACUUUGUGACAUGAUUGCCUCGCUCACAGGCUAGGUAUGAUGCUAUUUGGGUGUUCGUGGAUAGGUUAACGAAGUCGGCGCACUUCGUACCCAUUCACACUACUUGGACCGGGGAGAAGCUCGCACAAGUGUACCUUGAUAAGAUUGUGCGACUUCAUGGAGUGCCUACUUCGAUUGUAUCGGAUCGAGACACCCGCUUUGUGUCUCAUUUUUGGAGGAGUUUACAGGACGCCCUAGGCACCCGACUGGAUUUCAGCACUGCUUUCCACCCCCAGAAUGACGGGCAGUCGGAGCGCACUAUCCAGACCUUAGAGGAUAUGCUCCGAGCAUAUGUGAUUGACUUCCAGGGAGGAUGGUCGCAGCAUCUACCUAUGGCAGAGUUUGCUUAUAACAACAGUUAUCAAGCAAGCAUCAAGAUGGCGCCAUUUGAAGCACUUUAUGGACGGAAGUGUAGAUCACCACUUCAUUGGAGUGAAGUAGGCGAGAGAUUGGCUUUAGGCCCUGAUGUGCUCCAGGAAGCUGAGGACAAGGUUCGAAUUGCUCGGGAGCGGCUUUUAACGGCGCAGAGUAGACAGAGGAGCUACGCCGACCGACGACGGCGAGACUUGGAGUUCCAAGUGGGAGACCAUGUUUUCUUGAAGGUCUCGCCGACUAGAGGAAUCAAAAGAUUCGGGAUUCGGGGAAAGUUGAGCCCCCGUUUCAUUGGACCGUAUGAGGUUUUGGAGCGUGUAGGUCCGGUAGCGUAUCGACUUGCUCUACCACCGAACCUAUCGGGCGUACACAACGUCUUUCAUAUAUCGGUCCUUCGGAGGUACAUUCAUGACCUAGCUCACGUUUUGGAGGCUAUACCAGGGGAGCUGCGUGAGGAUUUGAGCUUCGAGGAGCAACCAGUGAAGAUUUUGGCUCGCGAGUUGAAGAAACUAUGGAAUCGGGAUAUUCCGUAUGUGAAGGUUCUUUGGAGCAACCAUGGGGAGCGGGAGGCCACGUGGGAGUAGAGAGCGCGCUGCAGGAGCGCUAUCCCCAUCCUUUUCAGAUGGAGCCUUGAGGUAUGCUUUUGCUUUCGAGUUUCGUGGACGAAACUCCUUUUUAGGAGGGGUGAAUGUGACGCACUAGACCUUGCAAAUUGUGGGGUUCGAGUGAUUGGUUGUGUUCUGAGUUUUUCCAGACUUUCUGGUGGGUCGUUGACAGUGUUCCGACCUAUGGUUCGAGUCCCGAGAAUUGUGGUUUAAAGCUGUGUACCAAAAUCUAAAAAGUUAGAUUUUUGGUCAGCCCUCGGGUAGCCUUCGGCAGGCUGUGUACCGGUACGGGCUUGGUGGCUGUACCGGUAUGGGGUUGAUGGCUGUACCGGUACGGGCUCGCGUACCGGUACACAGACGUCUUUUUGGCCAAACCUGAGGCUCGGGUUUGCGUUUUCGUGGGUGGUGUACCGGUACACAAUUUUGUGUACCGGUACACAGUGCAGAUUGGGUCUGUUUCGCGGAGGGGUGUUUUUAUAAUUGUUGCAACACCUAUAUAUUACACCCCAGUCCCUUUAGAGGGCUUUCUUGUGCCCUAACCAGAGGAGAUAAGGUGAGACUCUCCCCCUUUGAUCUCUUCUCCAUUUUUGAGGGAUUUUGGUUGGUUUUGAUCUCUCCUCUCUUCUCCACCUUAUUUUUUGUUGGGUUUCCUCCAUUGUUGAAGCCUUAGAGCUUGGAGAGGAGCUUGUUUGAGAGGAGAUCUUCAACUCUACUUGGCUUAGAGCUUGGUUUGGGACAUCUUGUGAGGUGAGUACUCAUGAUCUCUCCUUUAGAGCAUGUUUUGGUAGUUUUCCUCUUUGGAAACUCUAGAUUUUGGAUUCUAGGGCUAGGAUUGGGAAUUUUUGAUUUGAGGACUUUGGAACCAAAUUGAUGGGUUUAGAACCUUUGUUUAGGUUUGAUUGGAAGGACUCUAGCUCCCAUUUGGAGAUUGAGAGAGCUUCCUUCGCAAUCGGUGAGUUUUCUUCAACCCUAGCCCGAAUUGGUUAAUGAUUGUGCAAUCUGUUGUUCGUUUCGUUUGGGUAACACUUGUUCCUACAUCCUUAGGAUACUAGGAGGCUAGUGGACACCUUCGUUCGGCGAAACGAAGAGUUCGAAAAAUCGGUGGGUUUGGCUUCAUGAUUUCGGGGCAAAAUGGCCCCUAUGAGUAAAAUACUUGUCUUUUUGUGAAAGUAACGCUUCUAUACUACUUAUAAAAGCGUGAGUUUUGAAUUUUUUCUCUUUCCAAAAAUGUCUCUAUCUUUUUUACUAAUAUUGUCAUGUCCAGUAAUUUUCAACUAUCCAUUUUAAAUAAAUCUUUAAAUAAUAAUUUAUUCUCAAAUAUAGAUUUUAAGUUUUCGCCAUUGGAUCUCAUCCAACCAAUAAAAAUGAAAGUAUCUAUCAUUUUUGUUGAUAAAAAUACCCUAUAUAUCCGUUAUCUCCCAUCUACGCCGCGUUUCUCAAAUAUUUUUCUUCUACCCACCAAUCAUGUAAUACGUAAAACUAAACUUAUCACUUAUCUAACCUAACAUAAUAUCCGCCAAUCACGUAAUACCUCUGCUAAUCACUAAAAAAAAUUAAUACCCGCCCAAUCAAAACUAAAUCGUUAAUUAAAUAUAAUUUUAAAUAUUUUUAGCAAAAUAUUCAAUGUUUAAAUAAUACCCACCAAAAUAUUCUCCGCGUUCUCAAAUAUAAAAUAUAUUUUAUCCAUUUUAAAUAAAUCUUUAAAUAAUAAUUUAUUCUCAAAUAUAGAUCUUAAGUUUUCACCAUUGGAUCUCAUCCAACGAAUAAAAAUAAAAGUAUCUGUCAUUUUUGUUGACAAAAAUAUCAUCCAUAUCCGUUAUCUACUAUCUACAUUACUCAAAUAUUUUUUUCUAUCCAUAAUACGUAAAACUAAAUUUAUUUCUUAUCUAGCGUAAUACCAGCCAAUCAUGUAAUACAUCCGCUAAAUUUAUUUCCUAUCCAAGAGUUUCCUCAAAUAUUUUUUUUUCUCAAACGUAAUAUCUACCAAAAUUAAAUUUUAAGUUUAUAAUGCCCGCCAAAAUUUAAUACCCGCGAAUUUAAUAAUUUGAAUUUUAAUUCAUGAUAGUAGAUUUUUCCUUACAUAAGAUAGUAGAUUUAAUUUUGACGAGUAUUAAAAUUUACGCGCCAUAAAAGUAUAGAAUAUUUCUAAAAAAAAUUAAUAUUUGUCCAAUCGUACAUCGUCAUCGUCUUACUCAUCAUCAUUGCCUGUGCCGGAACAUUGUCGCGUUCGCCACCUUCAUUAUAAUUAAAGAGGUAUUUUAAUUCCAUUUGAAUUUUUUUUUUAAUGUGCCUUUAUACUAUUUUAAUAUAUCUUUUUUUUUUAUUUUUUCUUAUUUUCACAAAUAUGUUUCUCAAAUAUAAAGUAUAUAUUUUUUAGUAAUAUAUUUUUUUUAUUUUUAUCUAUAUUUUUUUAAAAUAUUUUUAAAUAUAUUUUUUGUAAUAUACUUUCUCAUUUGUCAGCACUGGUACAUCGUCGUCAUCAUCGUCAUCAUCAUCACCGGCACCGACAUAUUAUCGCCUUCGCCACUUUCGCCGCCUUUGCACAAUUGAAGAGGUAUUUUGAUCCUAUUUGAAAAUUUUUCUUUUUUCAAUAUGCCUUUAUACUGUUUUAGUAUUUUUUUUAGUAUUUCUCAUUUUCACUUAUAUAUUUCUCAAAUAUAAAGCAUAUAUUUUUUUAGUAAUAUUUUUUUUCAUUUUUGCUAUUAUUUUUCUUAAAUAUUCUCAAAUAUUAAUUUAAUAAUAUCCUGUUUUAUUUAUCUCUGUCGUCGACACUGGUACAUCAUCACAUCACUGGCGCCGGCACAUUAUCCCCUUUGCAGAGGUAUUUUGAUUUCAUCUGAAUUUUUUUUUUUGUAAUGUGCUUCUAUGUUGUUUUAGCAUAUUUUUUUUAGUAUUUUAUCAUUGUUACCUAUAUGUUUUUCAAAUAUAAAACAUAUAUUUUUUUAGUAAUAUUCUUUUUUAUUUUUACCUAUAUUUUUCUCAAAUAUUCUCAAAUAUUUUUUUAGUAAUAUUAUUUCUCAUUUGUCCUCAUUGUCCGUACCAGAACAUCAUCAUCAUCUUCCUCAUCGUUAUCGUCGUCAUCAACGCUGACACAUUGUCGCCUUCGCCACCUUCUAUACUAUUACUAACUUCUAUACUAUUUCAGUUUUCUUAGAUGUUGUUAGAAUGAUUGUCCAAAUCAAUUACUCUUUAUUUGUCUGGUGUUAAUCGUCCUAAACUUGAAGGUAAAGUGUUUCUCUUUUUAUCAUUUCACAUGAAAAAAAUUAUUAAUAACUAAUUAUUUGGAUGGAUUGAAACAUGAAUUGGAUUAGAUUGAUCCGCUAUGACAAGAUAGUGCUAACACACAUUGGCAUAAAAAAAUUAUUAAUAACUAAUUAUUUGGAUGGAUUGAAGUAUGAAUCGAACUAGAUUGAUCCUCUAGGACAAGAUAAUGCUAACACACAUUGGCAUGUGGAGAGACGCUAUUGCAAACAAUUCAGUUGUUGUAUUAAAGCAGUGCACGUUAAUAUCGAUAAUUAGGAUAAAUAUACUUUUUAAUAUUUUAUUUUUUCUGUGGUAUUUUAAAUUUAUUUAUCAGAAUCAAUUUAUUUAGCAAAGUUUUGCGAGUAAAAUUGUGCUUAAUCCACCUAUUCCAAAAACUCAAGAAAUAAAAUUAAGCUAAAAAUUUUUACUUAUAUGAAUUCUUAUUAAAUUUAUAUUUUUUAUUAAUUUUAUCUAUUCUGAUGAUUUACUAAUAUUUACUUUAUUAUUUUUCUUACUUUCAGUGUAAUUUGUACGGAAGNNNNNNNNNNNNNNNNNNNNNNNNNNNNNNNNNNNNNNNNNNNNNNNNNNNNNNNNNNNNNNNNNNNNNNNNNNNNNNNNNNNNNNNNNNNNNNNNNNNNNNNNNNNNNNNNNNNNNNNNNNNNNNNNNNNNNNNNNNNNNNNNNNNNNNNNNNNNNNNNNNNNNNNNNNCAAACGGUAGAAAAUAUGCGGAUCCGAGUGGGUUCGGGACAUAAUUAUUAUUUGUUUUGUUUACUAAUUGUUGAUACAUCCGAGUGGAUUUUAUCGUUAUUAUUGACAGACAUGUUUUAUUUAUUUUGCACAUUAUUAUUAUCAUGUUCUAUUAUUGGAUAUGACUGUUGCGGUUGGAUUUCUCGGAGGAGAGGGAUUUAUCCGGUACACGGUUUUCGAGGAAAAACGGUGCGAAAUUGUAGCUCUCGCGGUUAGAGCGACGGAGUGGAGAUGCUCUAAAUUAUGACCUUUGUGGUUUCAAAUUUAAAUUAUCGUUAUUUUUGAAGUAGAUUUCUUGUUAAGCAUUGCGCUUACUUUUGUUGUCUACUAUUUCAGGUACCGAGAGUCGGGGCGUGUGAGAUAAUUGGCCGGCGAGAACUCGUUAGAUAGAUUUCAAAUUUGGGACAUAUGAUUUAUUUUGACAUGAGAUUGAUUAUAUGGACAUUUAAGAGUUAUUGUUUAGUUUCGUUUUAAUUAAUAAAUUAUUUAGUUUUUAAUUGAGAUGGUGUCUUUGGAUCAAUUUAAGGCCUUCCGUUUUCGGAGGUUCUUCCUUUGAAUUCGUGGCCGGUUGUUGCGGUUCAGAUCCGAGCAGUCGGAUCUGGGGCGUGACAGCUUUAGUUGUAUCAGAGCCUAGGUUAUUGACACCUUAGGGCAAAAUGACACCAUACUUAGGGAUUUAGGACGCGCGAGUGCGUGGGAUUCUUUUUGGACACGAGGCGAGGGUUUAGCAAAAUUUUAUGUCUUGAUUGUGUUCUGUUUUGUAGACGAUGCCUCGUUCUCAGAGGACUGACACUUCGCAAGCUAAUGUACCUGCUGAUCCUAUUCCACUGGGGGAUCUACCGCCAGAGAUGUAACACACUGAACCUAUACAAAUUGCGAGGUUCGAGUGUUCGAGCUGUGUGCUGAGCAAUUCCAGAUUUUCUGGUGGGUCGUUGACAGUGUUCCGACCUAUGGUUCGAAUCCUGAGAAUUGUAGUAUUUUAUAUAGCGCUAAGGUCACCAAAGAGUUGGACUUAGGCUACCCUCCGAUUGCAUUCUGCAUAUGGUGAAACCGGUGACACGUUGAUGGUUGUACCGGUACACAUUUUUGUACCGGUACAAGUUGAUGGUUAUACCGGUACACUUGUGCAGAAUUUCAAACCCGAGGCUCGGGUUUGCUGUCUCGCGGGAUUUGUACCGGUACACUUUUCCGUGUACCGGUACACUUUGGCAGAUUUUGAGCAGUUUGAACUGCAGGGGGGUUUUCACAAUUGUGCCACUUCUAUAUCAUCACCCACGCCCCUAGGGCUCCUCCUUGAGCUUGCCACUGCAGGGAGAAAGGUAAGGGGGCCCUCUCUACCUUUCCACUUGGAUUUUAUCUCCUUUUACCUUGGAUUUUGGUGGAUUUACACCUCUCUUUGCUCCUUUUGCUUGUUGAAGGCUUUUUCACCAUUGGAGUUUGGUCUUGGAGCUUGUGGAGAGGGAGAUCUCCACACUUGGAGGAUUUUGAACCUUGUUUGAUGCUUCGAAAAGGUUAGUAGCCCCUUCUCUCCCUCUAGAUUGAAGUUUUAUCGAUGGAUUUGGGAUGAAACCCUAGAAUGGAGAUUUAGGGUUUGUUUUGGGCAUUUUGAAUCUAGGACUUUUGGAGCUUGAUCACUUGGAUUAGAACCUUCCUCUAGGUUGAAUUGGAAGGGUUCUAGCUAUCUUUUGGAGCUUAGGAAGAGAUUUUGCACUAGAGGUGAGUUUUCUCCACCUUAGCUUGAAAAGCUUAAUGUUUGAACUUAGUGUUGUUCGUAAGGUUCAUGUGACUCUUGUUUCUUUACCUUUAGGGUACUAGGAGGGUGGUGGACACCUUCGUCGGAGCAAACGAAGGGUUUCGUUUACCUUGGUGGGUUUGACUUCAUGAAAACGGAGCAAAAUGGCCCCUAUGCUUUCUAAACUCUUCGUAAAGUAUUUUUGAAUGCCAAUCCAUGCUAAACAUGAAUUAUAUGAAUUUUAGAGCAUUUAAAAUGCAUGCAUUAUGUAUGAUGAAAAUUGCCCUCUAUAUAGUAGAGCCACCUGUGUAGACCGCAUGCAUUAUGAAAGGUAUUUAGCUUUGCAAGUUGAGAACAUGUUUCCUAUGUUUGAAAUGAAUAGAAUUAUGUGUCAGGAACAUAAAAAUACCAUGCUUGAACUCGUUGAACAAUAGUGUCAUAAAGGGGCACUUGAAACUAGAAAACCAUGAAAUUGCAACAUAGAGACAUGAUGACAUAGUGAUGGGCCAUCGUCACGGUUGAUUCAUAUUCCAUGUUUUAGACAUGAGGACUUGAUACUUGAGACAUACUGAUACGCAUGCUUGUCAUUGUGCUCAUUCGCACAUGCUUGUGAGGGUCACUCCCUACAAGCCGGCACUCCGGAGUUGGCCAUUGCGAUACGUUCGCCGUGCGGGAUUGGGCGCCGAAGUGGAUUGCCGUGGGAAAGGCUCAUUCCUAGGGUAGGGAUGUUGACUAUCACGGGGCCAUUAGGCACGGUAGAGCCAGACAGCCUACGGGUGGGUCUUAUGCCAGACAGCCUUCGGGUGGGUCUCAUCAGAGCUGAACUUUAAACAGUUAAAGUUACAAGAUGAUAUUGACUAGAGUAGUGGACAUUGACAUUAUAGCUAUUCACAUUGUGGACAUUGGGAUAGUUGUAUACUCAAGUAACGAAAAGCACAAGCGGAAACAUACAAAAACGGCUUACACGAGGGUAAGCAAUAGCCAUGAGUGAAAGAAAGGAACUAAACAUUUACACAAGUUCUAUGAUUCACUUUUGAUCAUAUACAUGUAUUCAUUUCAUCCAACUUAUACAUUCACAAGUCUUUACAUUUCAUUACAUCACUUGCAUCAUUUCUUUUUACAUCACAUUGCCUCAAAAUAAAACUUUACAUUCUUUUCUCUCUUUGCUUUAUACAUAGACAUCUUCAAAUAUAAAAGAUGGAUACAGGGUAAACUACUAGCAAAAAGCAAAACCCGACUCGGGUAGUCACUGUCUAUGGCGCGAUACCUUUACCGCGGUCGCUCGCCAGCUCGCUCGAUCCCGACUCUGUAGAAAUGAUGGGGUGAGAACUACAACAAAGUUUUCAGUGGGUUCGGCCCCAAUCUCACCGAUUUUUCCACUAGGUCUAACUCAGGCAUAAUAGAAAGAAAGCAGAUAAGUAACCAACUAUACAAAUGCAACUAAUAUGCCUAAACAAUGCGAUCAAUAAUGAUGCUCAAUAUAAAUUCAUGAAGAAUGCAUGGUUCUUGUUCUUUGUUUCUUUGUUCUUUCGUUCAAUCCCAAGGCUAACCCGGGGGUAUCGCCUCAAUAACUCACCAACUCAAAGUCCAUGAUCGCGGGCCCUCACCUUCCUCCCGCUAGGACCGUCCUUUGGGGAACAGCACCAACCCAAUGAUGACAAACUCCGGAGCGCAUCGCCCUAGGGGGAGCGACCACCCUCAGGCAAGGACUUAUAGGCAAGUAUGAUCAAUCCUUAACUCUAAGGAUAUUCAGUUCAAUCUGUUCCUUAACUCUAAGAAAUUUUGCACAAAUGACCCUUAGCUCUAAGGUUGUAUGUCAUUGUGUCUCAAUCUCAUAUUCUUUGCAUUCUUUACUUUGAUCAUGCAAAUACACUAACUCUAGUGUUCUUUACAUUCUUUACUUUCAUUCAUAUCAUAAUACUAACUCUAGUGUCCUUUAUGUUCUUUACUUUGAUUCAUAUCAUAACACUAACUCUAGUGUUCUUUAUGUUCUUUACUUGAUGCUAACUCUAGCAUUGUCAUUCUUUAUUGUCACAUAUUUGCUAACUCUAGCUUUUCAUCAUUCUUUAUAGUAUAUUUGUUCUCUUGAUGUCAUACACUAGCUCUAGUGUUCUUUAUAUCAUACGUUAUGCUAAGUUUAGCCUUUCGUUCUCAACAUUUCAUUGUCCUCAUGUCAUAUGUCACUUAUUCUUUAACUUUAUAUUGUUCUCUUCAUCAUACAUGCAUAUAUAGGGUUAUUACAAUCUCAUUGGUUCUCAACCAUCUCAUGAUGCACUUGAUCUCACAAAAUGCAAACAUUCACAUGAUUAUCAUCUCUUUACCCUACUAUGCAUGCAACAACAUACUCAUGGAUGCUCAAGAAGUGACACAUUAGACAUAAAAGGAAUUUCAACAAGUUUGAAAAGCACCCCCCACCUCGUAGGGUUACUUUCAUGCUACGAUGAUUUUCUUGAGAUUUUUAGACUCCUCGUUCGCUACCUCCGGCAAAACGAAGCCAAAUUAGACAUUUUUGCUCAUAACUUUUCAUAAACUUUUCGUAACGUAAAUCCGAGCGCACCAACGCGUUCGUUUGGUCCCCAGUUAGGUUUCUAGAGGGUCAAUUUCACUUUGAAACCCUCACAAGCAAAAGCCCCAAAUUUGGGUGCCCUAGCUUCACAUAUAUCAAAACCUAGGGUUUGAUCUCAUUAGGAAGCGAAAGAAGCUUCAUUAUACUCUAGAGAGUCCAUCUAAAUCAUUCUUAGCUCAAUCAAAACCCUAGUUUGGGUUUCACCAUGAGAGGUUGAAGUUCACCUCACAGCUUCUUCAUAUAUACCCAAUCCAUGGUUUUGAUCUCUUAGAGAAGCAAAAGAGAGCUUCAAAUACUCAAAAGGUUCUACUAAAACCAUUUCUAGGUCAUUUGGUUCUCAUUCUAGGGUUCUACCAUGAAUGGGAUCAAAGCUUACCUCAAAGCUUCCCUUUCUUUGCUCCAAAGAGGAACACUACAACAAAAUAUGCGUUUAGUGGCAAAUUAAUAGCGGCGAUUAUGAAAUGGCUGCUAUUGAUCAAUAUUUGAUUAUACUUUAGUGACAAUUAUUUUAAAUUAUAAAUUUUUACCGACCAAUAUUAAUGUAUUAACUAUGCCUAUUCUAAAUCCAAUUAGGAAUCCUAAUAAUAACCCAAACCCGAGCCCACCCCAACCUAACCCGAUCCCACCCCUCUCCACCACCAUCACCUCCUCUCCGCCUCCCUCCAAUGGCGCCGCUCUCUCAAGCUCGAAACCCUAUCAUGCUUCCCCUCUCCUUCACCUCUCCUCUCUCCUCCCUUUCCUUCACCUCUCCGAUCUUUCCUCCUAAAUCGCCGUCGACCUCGCGUGCACCGGCGCCCGAUCUUCCUGGCCCCUCGUGCACAAGCGCCCGAUCUCUCCUCCGUCUCCUUCUCUUCGGCGCCCUCCGAUCCCUCCCUUCCCCCGCGUCGCCGCUUCUUGAAGGUGCGUCGCGUGACAGGUCGCCGUCACCAGCGACGUCUUGUCGUCGUCGGAGGCGGCGGCGGAGGAGGAGGCGGCGGCGGCGGCGAAGAUCGGGCGGUGGAUCCGCGUGAAGGCGCCGCUCAGGGUGUACCACGUGGCAAAGGCGCCGGAUCUGGAUCUGGGCGGGAUGGAGGGGACUAUCAAGCAGUACCACGGCGUGGGGAAGGGGAAGCGCAUCAACGCCAAUCUCCCCUUCAAGGUCGAGUUCCUGAUCUGAAUCGACGGCCAGGAUAGCCCUGUCAAGUUCUUCGCCCACCUCCGGGAGGACGAGUUCGAGUACGUGCCCUCCUCCGAUGGCCCUAAUUGAGAUCGCCCUUUUUGGGGUUUGUAUCGGUGAGAUCGGGGAACAAACACUAGCUCCUCCUCCUCCUCUUCCUCUGCAUAUUCAUAUCCUGAUUCUUUGGAGUUUCUUGAUAUCGCAGAUAAUUACGACGCUUGCCACUGCGGUAGUCCGGUGGAUUAAACUCUCAUUGCAAGGUGGUAUUUUAUAUCUUUUUAUUCAAGGACUAUUAUUAUUUUUUAUUUAUUAUAUCAUUUUUUUUCCUUUUUUAUUUUACUAGAAUAGAUUAUAUUUUGGUUCUCAAUCUAUAAAACGUGUGACAUUUGGUUCUACUAUUUUGAAUUCUUCGGUUAACUUCAUCAUAAUAGCAAGGCACUUCUACUUAUUCAUCAACCAAGUGAACCAUGUGUAGAAUAAUGAGUGGUUCAAUCACUGUUAGCAACUAGAUUGUUGGUUCAUUCCAUUAGCUCUGAUCUACACUUACAAAAUUAAAGUACCGUUUAUUGAUUCCAUUGGUUAUGAGUAUUUUAGAGUUUCUUAAUUCUUUGGCACAUUGGAAUCAUGAUUUUGCGAAUGACGCUUCAAGCUAUAUGAAGCACAGAUUGUUUAGGUAUUUGGCCUGGUAUCUAAGUACUUACAGUGGUCUUUUUGAUAUGAUUUUGCAUAUGUUAUUUUACUAGUUUAUAACUAUAUAAAGAAGCUUCUACUAUAAUUGUUCUCAUCUUACAUCUCUAUGAAUCUCUCAUAUUAUGCUCUUUGUUGUGGAUUGAUCAACCUCUUUCUUCGAUUAAUUGGUGAGUUUGGCAUGAAAUUUUGGUAACUAAUAGUUUAAUGUAGUUGGAACAUGCUUUUGCUUGGAGCUUUUGAUGCUUGUGGUUUUUUGGUUGUAUGAGUGAGUCUAAAGACUACUUUAGGUGAUUUUUUUGCAAGCGAAUGUGAAUGUUGAGAAUUGGUUGAGUUGAUUCUAUUAAUGUUAUGUCUCACGAGUCUCUUGGUCACUACUUUUGCUGAGUAAAGUAUUGCUGGUGUGUUAAGUUCUGGACUUUGUGCUUCCAAAACAAUAAAUUUAUCACUAGAUGAAUCACCCUAUGUUAUGACUUGAGAAGUCAAGUGUCAGAUCCUUGUCUAGUCAUCAAUGUAGCAUCUUGCGGAUUCCAUACACCACAGCCGCUAGUAUAUUGUACUUAAUGUGGCUUCCUAAAUGAAUAGUGGCAGUGACUAGUGCUUAUUAUGACUUGAGAUGUCAAGUGUGAUAUCCUUGUAUAGUCAUCAAUGUAGCAUUUUGAGGAUUUCAUACAUCGUAGCUGGUGAUAUAGUUUCUUCACAUAGAAAGCUUUCUAUAUGAAUAGUUGCAAAUUUUAUUAGCAUAACUGGUUUAGCUAUUACAUCAAAGGUAAAUUACAUCUUUAUUGAUAUGCCGCUUGCCUAGAAUGUACUUCACACAGAUAAAUUGUUCUCCUCUUUCUUUCAUCUUAGUUUAAAUAUCUCUCUUAUGUGUAGGAUAUUUGUGGACCUUCCUAACGCUGGGAACCGAACGAAAAUCCUAAAGAUUAUUUGUAAUAUGUCGAAACCCGACUACAUUGCUAAUCUUGAUCAAAAUGACCAAGAUGAUGCAAAAAUAGAAAUUAAAUGCUUCCAAAUUAAAUUGGUAGCUUGGGCAUAGAGUUUAGCAUGUUUUGGAAGUGUUUGGAUGAAUUCGGAGUGAGCUGGAUGUGAGAAACGAGCUGCCAAAGCUGCUGCUGCCAGCAGGGACUGAAUUGCGAACCUGCAGGGACUGAAAUGUAAACUGUAGUAUUGUAAUGCACUUUUGCUGAAUUGAAGGGUUAAAGAGCAAUUGUUUGUUCUUGCCACUUAACCCCAGCCCCCUAGAAAAUGUCCACGUACCAGCACCCCUCUCCAAUGCUUCUUUUCAUUUUUUUUUUCCUUUCUUUCUCUCUCAGCCCUUGGAGCAGAGAAGUGAAGAAAAGCUUGUGAAGUUGAGUUUUCUUGUUGUUGGAGCUAAGAAGAAACUCUGUGGGACUGAAAAGAAGGCUUUUGGAGCUGAGAAAUCCCUUGGGGAAGCUUUAAAUCCAGGUAAGCUUGAUGCCUAAUUCCCUGGUUGAGUAGUAUUAGUGAUUGUGAAGCUGAUUUCCAAAGUGAUCUUGGUAGACUUGGGUUUUGAACUUGAUAGGAGCUGCCGAAGUGGGAAACCAGCUGAGGAAGCUUGGAGUUCGAGGUAGAAGACUUGCUUCUCAGCUAGGAUAAAGGGUAAUUGCUUCAUAGAAGCCUCUAAAUGGUUAAAAUUGAUGUAUGUAUGCAGAAAUUCAAGUAGAAGCUGUUGGUGGGAUGCCUUGUGGAGGUUUUGGGCGCCCAGAUUGAGAGAGGACCUGAGGGAGCUUCUUUGGUGUUUCGAAUUUCAGAAAAUCUGGUGGAGCCUUGAAGCUAGGUAAGAUGGAUAAUUAUUCCUUGGUUUAAGUGAUAUGAAUUACUCAAAAAUGGAAUUGUAAAUAUUAGAAUCACUAACUUUAACCUUGUAUAAAGGGCUGAGAGGGGAAAUGUUGAAGUGCUGAAAUUACAACUUUGGUGGAGCUUCUUUUGGUGUUCUGAGCUGAAAGGAAGCUUUAGAAAGCUGAGAGCAACUUAGUAAAGCUUCUAAUUCAGGUAAGAAUAGUGUCUAUCCCUGAAUUGAGUAAUGUUGGGUGUUAUAAAGAUGAUUCCUGUAACGUAUCACUUCCCCGUAAGUCGUGCCGAGUUCCGUCGAAAUGAGCGGAACGCGGAAAUGGAUGAUUUACUAUAGGCUAAAGUGCAUUGGAGUCUAUAUAUGAAGUAUAAAGGGACUCAAGAGAGUGAAACUGUAAUUCUGGAGAAGUUCCAAAAAUUUUACUCUCGGGGACCGGUCCCUUGGGUGAGAGACCGGUUCCCGAAUGUUGAUCAGUCGAACGAGGUGAAAAAUCAGCAAAGUCCUAGAAAUUGAGCUCUCGGGAACCGGUCCUUCGGCGGGAGACCGGUCCUAGGAGACCGGUUGCGUCGGGGGGAGACCGGUCCCCUUCUGCGCAGAGUGCAGGAUAGCUCUCGGGAACCGGUCCCUGAAGGGAGAGACCGGUCCCCGAGCCCGAAAUUGCCCAGUGAGGGCUGGUUGCAGAGAUGAAAAGUUGAGGGGUUUAAGUGCAAAUGUUACAUGAGAUGGUUGUAUAGAGGUGAGGGUUAGGGUUAGCCCUCAUUUCCCUCACACCUAAACACAAGCCUUCCCUCUCUCUCUCUAAAAACCUCUCCUCUCCCUCUCCCUCUUUCUCUAGGGCUUGGACUAAGAGAGGUUUUGGAGGAGAAAAGUUUGGAAAAGAAGCUCUCCAAGGUGUAGAGCAAGCUUGAUCAAGGCUUUGAAGGAAAGCUUUGGGCUCAAAAAGGUGAGUUCUUGUGAUUUUAAGUUAGGUUUUGGGUUUUUGCUUCUAGUUGAAGCAUUUAGGAAUGUCUAUGGUGGUUUUCCUCCAUGUUUCGUCAAGCUAGGGGCUUGAUUGGAAAAGAUGACAUUGUGCAAGGACCUAUAUUUAGGGUUUUAUAAUUUUGAGGUUCAAACUUGGAUUUGAUCUCAUUUUAACCUAAUUGGUAGGUCUACGAUCGCAUCGGUGCGCUCGGUUCGGCGAUACUACGAGCGUGCGUGAAGAUAUUAAGAAAACAAGCUGAAAUAAUACAGAUCGUCGUAGCUCGCGGCGAACAAGUUUAGAAAUCGUGAAACCUGGACCACGGCAUCCUUGUGACACAUAAAGGUGGCGGGUGCUAUCCGGAAACACCGGAUCUCUUUCUAUGUCUAUGUCCCUUCUUUGAGCAUAUUAGUAUUAUAGCAUUUUUGCAUGUAGGGUAAUGAACAGCAUAUGUUGGUUGUAACAAUUAUCUGCGAAGAUUAUUGUAAUGAUAUAGAACCAUGUGAAUAAGGAAAGUGAAAGACCCUAUAUGCAUGUGAAUGUGAGAAAUGAUUAUGACCGUAGUAAACAAAGACGACAUUGAUAUUAGUGACUCUAUUGACAUCGAAAAGAGAAUAGUUAAACAAGGUUUAACCCGAGUGACAUUAUGUGUAUUGUGGCAUUAGGACCAUUAUGACAUCGGCAAAUGAUAGUAUGUGCAUGAAUAGGUAUUAACCAUUCAUCGGCAUUGAGACAGUGAGAAUUGUGACAGGUUGGCCAAACCUCCUCAAAUUGAGGAUGGGAUCAUACUCACAUGUAUUGGUUCCGGCUUAUGCGAGGUCGCUCCUCCACAAGCGGUGUACUCCGGAGAAGAAAAGCACCACGGGUGGAAGUGCCCGGCGAAGAUCCUUCAGGUGGUUGUGCCUUGUGUCUCCCCCGUUAGACAGGAUAUGCGGACUGUGUGUUGGGAUAAACCAGGAGCACCCCAGGUUGAUUGGGUAAAGGCCAAAGGAAUGUGAAAAGGACAUGCAUGCAUAAUUAUCAUGUAUUUGAAUAUGAAUAUCUAUUUGUGGAUUACUUUCUUGCAGGCAUUGUAUUAGAAGUGCAUUAGUUGGUUUGUUAUUCUUCUUUAUUGAAAUACAUAUGCCUGAAUUAGACUGUCAUACACUGAACUUUUGCAAAUUGCGAAGUUCGAGUAUGUGGAAUGGUGUGUGGAUCAAUCCAACAUGUUCUAAAAGGUUAGAACAAAUUUUUGGAUAAGUUAGAGGAUGAUUGGAAUGUUAAAAGUGAGAAAUUAUAUUGAUCUGCGAAAAUCAGGGUUUUCUGCUUGCUGUACCGGUACAGCCAUCACCUUGUACCGGUACAGCAUUGGCAGAUUCGUGGCAGCAGGGCUGUUUUGGUCAUUUCACACUUGAUCCCUAUCUAUUAGACCCCAGCUCGACCUGGGAUACUCAGUGGAGCCUGCUGGAGUCCAGAGAAGUGUUCUCCCAUCUUUCUCUUUCUCUCUCUCUAGGGUUUUUCUCUCUCUANNNNNNNNNNNNNNNNNNNNNNNNNNNNNNNNNNNNNNNNNNNNNNNNNNNNNNNNNNNNNNNNNNNNNNNNNNNNNNNNNNNNNNNNNNNNNNNNNNNNUGAAGAGAUUGCGGAACCGUGAGAUUCCCUAUGUGAAGAGUGCUUUGGAGCAACACGACGAGCGCGAGGCCACUGGGAGUUGGAGAGCGCACUGCGGGAGCGCUAUCCCUAUCUCUUUCAGAUGGAGGCUUGAAGUACUUUACUUUUUGAGUUUCGCGGACGAAAACUCCUUUUUAGGAGGGGUGAAUGUAAUACACUGACCUUUGCAAAUUGCGAGGUUCAAGUGAUUGCUUGUGUUUCGAACUUUUUCAUACUUGGUGAGGUGUCACGCCCGGGUCGAUUUUAAAAGUCUUUUUAAAACAGAGUUGCGGAAAACGUGCCAUUUUUUUUUUUGAAAAUACCGUCUUUCUCAACCUGGCCACGCGACGUACAGACCCGCACAUACAAAGUUCCUCUGUCACUAUCGGACAGAGUCUCCUUUGUAUUGGCACGGCGUACCAACAGAUACAACAGGAUCUCAACCAAACUCUACAUUUAAACCAACAACAACCAAAGCAUGAUAUGCAUUUUCAUACAGCUAACAAUCCUUAGAAGAUGCAUGCCUCUAAGCACUCCUUAGGCGCUGGAUGAUGUAAUGCACAAUACAACAAACAUCCUAUUUAAAAGUGCUCCCACACGGAAGCUUUUGUUUUAAACUCUAAUUCAUUCAUUCAUAAAAACCGUUCGAAACCUUUUUAAAACUGUUUCCCACACGGAAACUCUAUUUGAAAACCGACUACCUCGAGGGGUAGAAAACCACGAUGCAUAACUACAAGAAAACCAAAUCUCCACAGAACGCAAAACCACAGAUCGAAAAUCCAAUCUCAUGUAUAAUAAAACAUCCAUAAUCUCAUGCAUAAACGGAAUCACCACAUUAACAUCUAACUGAACCAUUUAUUAAGAAAACUACUAAGUGCGGGAAAGAAAUAACCAGGGUGACGGUCGCUACUGCCGUCUAACUAGAUCGUCUCUCGUCGAGCCCGAAAUCCAACUCCUCGUCUCUGUAACCUGGGGGGGGGAAAGGGGGUGAGAAACCGCAACCAUGGUUUUCUCAGUGGGUACGACAGAGCCACGAAGGCAAGUCGUAAUCACCGAAACCAAAGGAGAUAGAUAAACAAGUAUAUAACUGUAAGCUGAUAUGAAAUAGAACUACAGUAGCUACAACAGAUAAAUAGGAAGCAAUAAUAAACCUUCUACUGUAUAGAAAACAAUGCAAAGAAUGCCUCAAUGUACUGAACCAGAAACUGUACCCAAUCUGUGCUGCUGAUCGGUUCGUAGACCUCAAGCGCUACAUGUCCUAACUCAGACCGCCUGAUCCAUCCGCCCCCGCAGGACGACCUAUCCGGAUAAGUAACCUCCGAUCGGUGGCCAACCGAUACCGGUGUCAUGAAUACCCCAAGUGCCGUGACUAAGUCAUGCUGGUAAUGCUCAACAAAAACAAACCCGACUAAAAGCCGUGCCUAGGCCGAAGCCAACAACGAGGGCGUACAAUGCCAAAUGAAAUAAAAGCUAGGGCGUACAACGCCGAACCGAAAUAAGAUGCUAGGGCGUACAACGCCGAACCUCGAUCAACCAGAUCGAAACACAACCACAAGAGAGUCGAUGUGUUGCCUGACCCAAGGUCCACAGAGAUACUGAAAUACAAAUGCAACCUGCUCUACAUGUCUAUCAUCACUAACCCAUGGCAGUCAACGAAAUACGAUAGCCAAAUGAUACCAAACACUGACAUGUAGAGCUAAUAUACUGGAAUAGAAAAACAGGAAGAAGAGGUGAAACUCUCACCGACUACCACUCGAGAGCACCACCUGUCACUGUCGGCUCGGAACACGGAGUACGCACAAGUCUACCGGACCUAAGAAGAUCCACACAAGUCAGUAUCCAAACCACUCACCCAAAGCACGAGACUCACAACCCCCACAAGGAUCCCGUAAUCGGUUUCCCAAAACCGAUCCCGUAACUCACGGAAGUCCCGAAAACACACACGGGACGCCGUCGGGACCGCACUAAGUGUCCGAACUCACACGACUCGUACCACGAGUCACCUGCUGCCCCAACAUUCCAAUUUGGAUUGCCCUGGCAGUGAAACACAAGGUAACACAACAAUACGGUCAUCGCCGGAUAAUCGUACGAAUCCGGGUUUCCGGAGUGUCUAUUUCGACACGAAACCCUCCGUCGCUCACCCAUCAUCAUCGACACCACAAAAUGAUGAUGGUGACCAGCAACAAGGCUCAGCGAUGAAACCACGAAGCAAAACCAAACACCGUCGGAAAGAAUCCGAACCGAAACGCGCGUUCUUUCGGCGAAUUUCGCCGAAAAACGCACCGAAAUCGACUACGAUUCUCGCGAAAGCUAACGGACCAUGACAAUCAGUCGAGCGAUCAUAACAAACUCCCACACACUGCCCACAGUAGCCACGCAAAGCAGCAAUCGCAUAAAGAGACCUCUAAUUAACAUAAAUAAUCGUCAUUUUAAUGUAAUUUUGAGGCGAUCAAGCGGCUCGUUCACGCAAACCGAGGACUUCAAGUCCGCAGAGACACGUACUGACAGGUCUCGACGUACCGGAGUCGGUGCUCACGAUCCGGAGCACAGCGGCUCGCUGUGGGAAGCGCGGGAGCAACGCCGAAGGUUCAGCGAAUAGCGCGCAGUCAGGGAGAUCGCGCCGAACAGAAUAACCGGACACUUCUGAUCCAAGGGAAGGUGAGCUUGUGAUCAGCACUGACCCACGAUCACCGUGCUCAACCUCCGGAGGCAUCAGGACAGCCUCGGAUCGCCGGGUAAGCGUGCGCAAGCCCAAAUCAGCAGCCCAAACAGGCUGAAAGGAGCGCAGCGGAUGAUUGACUCGAGGCCGAGUCGGGUGGUUAGCUUGAUUAGGUUAAUAGAAACCUAAAGGUAAGAGCUGAGGUAAUAGAAACCUUAGAGUAAUGUGAAUUUGAGUUGUGAACUGAGGUAAUAGAAACCUUAGAGUAAAGAAAUAUGAGCUAAGGUACCUAAGUAAAAGUAGAAUUCAAAUGAUCUACUAGAUGUUGCAUAGAGUUGAAUGACUUGCAUAUUGCAUAUUGUUAGGUCUAACAUGUAUUUCAAUUGAAUAUAUUUGCAUUGUAUAUUGUUGAACUAACAUAUUGCAGGGCCUUCUUAGACCUUUUGGUCGAGCUUUUCCCUUGGGUGGCCGUACCCACUGGGAACCAUGGAGUUGGUUCUCACCCCACGUUGUUUUGGGGUGUUUACAGGUUGUACGAGUGCGGCGCGGCGGCGCGAGGCAAGGGCGUAGCUCCGUAGAUAGCGCCCUACCCAGAGACUAGAGCUAGCAGUACCCCGUCGACAUAGCUUAGGGGUUAAGGAAUGAAAGGAACAUAAUAUAUCAAAUUUGUAAUGAGUAAUUUGUAAUAACUAGAUUGCAUUUGGAUGAAAAAGAAUGUAAAAAGAAUUGUAAUGUAAAAAUAUGUGAAUGUGAAUGUAUGUAAUAAUAUAGGAUGUGUUAUGUUGUUGAUACCUUCCUUAUGCAAUCUGUUUGUUGAAUACUGUUCCUGGUUGGAACCUUCGUAUUGUAUUGAUUGCGUUGCCUUAAAUGUACAGGGGAAACCCUGUCCAUUCGGUGCUGUCGGCGGUGUCGCGAACCUGACCAAAGAGGCGGGGGUCGCGGGUCGUGACACAUAUGUUAUCGAGUUAUUGAUUCUCUUGCAUAAUCGUUUAGGUAGAAUUUGAAGAGGAUUGUAUAAAGAACCAUGAUUGUUAAUCUAUUUUCUUUUCCUUUUCUUGGGCUGAUUGCAAAUUUAGUUCCUAGAGUUUAAAUUGAUUUCAAUCUUUUGUCCUUACAGCUACAUUUGUAGCAAUUUAGUCCACAAUCUUUGCAGCCCACAAUAGUCAAAUUCUUAUGUUAGUCUCCAGUCUGAAAUAUGAGCAAACUCCACAUACUAAAUUUUUUUACCUAAUCUUUCCUUUAUAUAAUUUAAGGAGCUCUUGUAGUUUAAUUAUGCUUUUCUACUCUGUAAGUUCUUGUCAGAGUAAACUUAAUUUAAAAUGAGAAAGAACUACAAAAGCUCAAUUGUACAUUCAUGCCCAAUAUAUAUGAACAUGAUAGACACAUCAAUUUAAGGAUUCUAAACUCUUAAAAUCAACUACAAAAGCUUAAUCUCGUAGUUGAUCAAAAUCCCAAUUUUUGAAGCCUCGUAACAUGCAACUAACUCAUCAAAACCUCUUAAAAAUAAAAGCAAUUCAUAUAACUAUGUAUUGGUCCCUAAAUUCAAGUAGAAAGAACUAAAAGUUAAUUAUCAAAAAUCUCAUUUUGGGCUCUUAGGGUCCCAACCCUAAAAUCACAAGAAAAUUUCGUAAUAGGGCAAAAACCCUCAAUUUAGGACUUCAAUAUUUGAAUAUAGUGUCAUAAAAUCUUCAAAAACUAUAACCAAUCCAUAAAGGAUAGCUUGGGACCUUCAAAGAGAAUAGAAAAAUAUGCAUGCAACUCAAAAUAUUCAUUCUUUGAUACUCACAAAGCACCAAACCGAAAAUUUACUUUGUUCUCUAGCUAGAGUUUCAACUUGAAUAUGGGUUUCCUUCUCCAAAGGUUCUGCUCCUAAAUCCCUUCAAUUUGAAGGAAAAAUCCUUCAUCUCAUUACCAAGUAGAAGAGAGGAGAAAUAGGGUAUUGAGAGAAAGGGGAAAAUGGAAGAAAAGAAGAAGGGAAUGGGGAUAGAAGAGUUUUUCUCUUCUUCCAUUCAAACCAGCCCACUUAAGGGCGUUUCUAUAAUUUUACUCAAUAUUUUCUUGGGAAAAAUUAUGGUUGGACCAAUAGUUAACGAGCUAAAUUGAUAAGCUAUAAUUUUAAUUAGUAAUUUUACCAAACUACCCAUAACAGUUGGUGAAAUCCUGAACAAGCUCGCAGCUCAGGGCUGUACCGACGACUAUUAGAAAAAUUGCAAUAACUCUUUCGUCCGAUAUCCGUUUAAGGUGAUUCAGGUUACGUUAGAAAGAUAACUCGACGAUCUUUCCAACAAGACCAAUUUCGCCUGAAUCGGAUGUCGAUAACCUGGUUAAAAGUUUUCCCAAAGUGGCUGGUGGUGCAAUAACAGAUUAGACUCAACUGUUUUGAAAUUUUCAUCCUCAAAUAAUUCGUUUCGAAAUUUUCGUCCUCAAAUAACAUUUGUAAUUAAGCUUUUAAUUGUUGCAUAAAGAGUAGUCUGAUAAUUAAGCAAUGGAUAUUUAGAAAAAGAAAAAAAAAACUCAAAACAAUAAACCUAAAACAGAAUCAAAUUAUACAAUUAGAAUGCUUAAUUAGUUCAAUGCAUACCAUAUAUCAUAGUUCAAUGAACACCCUGUUUCAUAGAUUUCAACAAUUUUCUCGAUUAAACUUGCGUGUCGGAUCAAAGAUAAGACGAAAGUUGCCCAUUCCAAACAGAUUUGAGUCUAAUAUUGAAAUUCUUGGACUGAUUCGGCGAGAUAAAUGCGAUAUUGCGAAGUUAUCAUAUCCAAUCACACAAAUGCUGCAACAAAUCAUCAAAACAAGAAACGUGUAAGGAGAUUUAGCGAUUAGGGCAUACAUGCAAUCCGGAGAUCGUAUCCCAGCAGGAUAGGGGCUUGAUCCCCUCAUCGUUGUAGAGGUUUUGGCAGAGCGAGAGCUUCUUCAAGUGAGAGAGAAGCGCGACGCGGGGAUCGAGCUUGGAUAGGCGAUUGGCCGUGAGGUCCAACUCCUCGAUGUUCUCGGGGAUCUCGACCUCUCCGAGAUCGUGGAGUUGGUAGCUCAUGAGAUCAAGGCACCGCACCUCCUCCUCCUCGACCUCCUCCUCCAUUGGCUCUUCGUCUCUAGCAGCUCGAGCUCGAGCUCGUGGUGAAAAAAAGAAAAAGAGAGAGAGAGAGAGAGAGAGAGAGAGAGAGAGAGAGAGAGAGAGGUGAACAUAAAGAGCUCAGAGAUGGAGAUCGAGGGGAGAGAGAGAUAGAGAGAGAGGUUAUUUGAAAUAUAGGGAGAGCUAAUAUGAAAAGUGUUUAUUGCCCAAGGUUGGCCCAUGGCCCAAUUGAUGGAAAAAGUUAAUAAAAUAUAGUCCCAUUGGUCCAAUAUUAUUUAUAAAUUUGAGAACUAUCAUCAUAUAUACCAGCGGUUUAGUAACUGCUACAAUAAAAAUAAAAAACGUUGGUAUAAUAUACUUUUAGCGGUAGUUAGCCUAAUUGUUGGUAAAAAAAUUGUUGGAAGAAGCUCUAUUUAUUGUAGUGAGAGACUGGUCCCCCCAGUGAGCAGUGUUGCGGCGGCCUUGGGGCAACCGGUUCCUGACGGGCGAGACCGGUCCCCGAGCGCGUCCACGCGGGGAGAGACCGGUCCCGAGCGGGGAGAGACCGGUUCCCGAACGUCGGGUUUUCGAGGCAGGCUGAGAGACCGGUCCCGUGCAGGGAGAGACCGGUCCCUCUGGGCGAAAAUUGCCCAGACCGGACUGAUGCAAUAUUGGAUUUUUGAGGGCCCUCUUUGGAUUUUGUUACACUAGAGGGCAUAUAUGGCUACUUCUUCCUCUCUUCUCCCUCAUUCCACCAUUCCCUUUGCUCCUAGAGAGAGAAGAAAAAGAAGGAGAGGAAGAAGAAAAAGGAGAGAGCUUGUUGGACGCUUGGAACUUCACCCACACUCUCUCUUCUUCCUUUUGGUGGCUUGGAGCUUGGAUUUGGAACAUUGUUGAGGAAAGAUCUUGGAACCUAGAGGGUUUUGAACCUUGAUUAAAGCUUCUAAGAGGUAGGUAACUUGUUCUUUCCCCAAGAUUUCAUAAUUUGAAGGGUUUUAGUAGAUGGAACCCUAGAAUGGGAAUUUAGGGUUGAUUUUAGGGCUUUUUGAUUUAGGGCUUUUGAGGCUAAAUUUCUUGGAUUAGAACCCUCCUUUGGGUUAGAUUGGAAGGAUCCUAACCUUCUUUCGGAGCUUGAGAAAGAUUUUCUACUCCCUAGGUGAGUUUUUGCCCUAUUCUUGUGAUUGUUAAUGUUUGAGCCUAGAGUUGUUCGUAACGCUUGUGUAUCUCUUCGCUCAUUACUUUUAGGGUAUUUUGAGACUCGUGGACAACUCCGUUCGGCGGAUCGGAGGACACUGCGACGGUUCGGUGGGUUUGACCUAGCCUGGCAUAUGAGAAAUCCUCAUAUCUCAUGUUUUAUGCUCGUAGAGUAAAAAUUCAUGCAUUACCAUGAUAAACAUAUUUAUUGUGAAUUUUAGGAUGCGUAACAUGCCUAUAUUAUGUAUAAGAAGUUUCGGGCCCCUAUAUAGCAGAGGGCUACCUUGUGGGACUUGUACAUGAUUGGCAUCCUAUUGAGACUUGGAAUCAUAUUUCUUAUUGUGAAAAGGAGCAUUACCUUCAUGCAUUUUAAACUAUUUCUACUUGAGACUUAAAGGAUUUUAGUAAGCCAUAAAGAGGCAUAUGACAAGAUUGACAUGUGAGAUCGUGAGCUAAUGUCAUAAAGCGGCAUUGAGCUCGGGUUGUUUGUGAACCUAAUGGAUAGGGCCAUUGAGAGAAUUGGAACAUGUUGUGCAUCGAAAUGUCUAAGUGUCAUAAAGGGGCACUAGACCUAGUGAGAGUUGGAACUUCACCUUGAGACAUAGAACUAGAUCGUUGGAUGCUAGUGGCUAUUACCAUGCUAGAGACAUGAUGAUUGGAUACUUGAGACGAUGAUUUCACUUGCUUGCCAUUUGUGCUCAUUCGCACAUGCUUGUAAGGGUCGCUCCCUACAAGCCGGCACUCCGGAGUUGGCCUACGCGACUUAUGUUUGGGCGUGCGGUAUCGAGAAACCUAUGGGGUCGGGAGGGAUAGACUCAUUCCUAGAGUGGAAAUGCUCGAGCUACCACCGACACUUAGGUGGCACAAGCUGGACUACAAUAUGUAGGUCCUAAAAUACGUUGGAAAUAAUGACAUUGAACCGAAAAUUGACUAUCACUACUAGAUAGACUUAGUAGUUGGAUUACCUUUACAUGCUUAUAGCAUAGCGUUGGGACUUGUAGUAUACAUGAUAAUCUCAUACAUUGCAUCAUAGUAUACUUGUUAUCAUGAUAAAGCAUAUUCAUCAUACAUUGGCAUAAUGGACCAUGAUACCUACUUGUUCGUUAUGUUUAGACAUAUUAGUCAUGCUUGGACUUGCUUCAUUGGGAUAAAGUAUAUGUACACACUUUCAACAUCAUGUUUAUUUGUGAUAUAGUAGCUUAGCAUCUAAUUAUGCUUUCAUAAUGCAAUUAUUUCAUUACUAUUGCCUUGUUGACUUACCUUUUCUUUUGGGGCCUAGUGGUGCAUUGAGCUGAGGUCAGUAAUUGCCCACUGGGAACUAUAAAUUAUAGUUCUCGCGCCCUCUGCUUUAUGUUUUCUUUCAGAGCCUUCCACGCCGGGAGAGGCUAGGGACCGUGGGAAGGG
RNAcentral lists this long non-coding RNA (56900 nucleotides) under Ananas comosus (pineapple). Its description in RNAcentral is "long non-coding RNA (ACOM_LNC023257)". The record is from RNAcentral. Lineage: Eukaryota; Viridiplantae; Streptophyta; Magnoliopsida; Poales; Bromeliaceae.